CAGCAUUUACUGUAGUCUAUAGAUCUUAUAGGUUAACUAAUUCAUUUGACAUAUUAUUUUUAUAUUCACUAUUAUCUUAUUAUUAAAAGAGAAACAAUCUUUAAAACUAGGAUUUUAUUUAUACUCAUGUCAUUUGCUCACGUUUAGUUUCCUCAUGUUUCCCCAACCUUCAAUCAUAACUACUCUUUCUACACUAAGGAGGUGUUAAUGGGGGUAAGAUUUAUAUAUAAUUUGUUGAUUUUAAAAGCUAAGAGAUUUGUUGAAUUUGGAAAUAGUUGGAGAAAAAUUUGAGUGAUCCACUGAGAAUAGUAUUGGAGUUAACGAAUAGUGACCAACGUGAAGAGGUUACUCCUUUUUUUUUUUUUUUUUUUAAUUGGGUAUAUAUGCAUGAGGCUGAGUAAUUUUUGUGGUCUAUGAAUUUGUUGCUGUAGAUUAUCCAAAGAAGCUAAGAAGGAUGAAGCAGUUAGACAUGCUCUCUCAGUUCGUGCAGCUGUUACAUAAGGAAAUUAUGUUCCGUUCUUCAGACUUUACAAGACUGCGCCAAACAUGAACAAUUACCUUAUGGUUGACAGGUGAGGUGAGAGACAUAUUACACAUGAAACUUGUUUUGAUAUGUUUGAGCAAUGGAAUAGGAUAAAUGAAGAAAUAAAAAGGAUGGAACGAAAACGUUUUCAUUUUUUAUUUGCAGAUCUCUAUGUGGAGAAGAUGAGUUACAAAGCAGUGAGUCUUAUAUCUCGGAGUUGUGUCCUACAAUCCCAAUUUCAUACUUAGCCCAAGUGUUGGGCUUUACUGGUGCUUCAGGCCAAAGUACUGGUGAAAAGGAAAGCGAUGGUAUGGAAGUGGGUUCUGAAUGGCUAAAAGCCCUUGGUGCUAGCCUCAUAUCUGACAGUAACGGAGAUAUGCUUCUUGAUACCAAGGUAAGUCUUCUUUUGAACUUGCCAUUAAGUUUUUCAUGAGACAAUGGGUUCAUUUUGAUUCAAAGCCAUAUAAACGUUGAGUAUCUUCAUACCCGAACCUGAAGUGCAGUUGCUCAUGGAGAACGAUAUCUAGAUGUCAAUGAUUUUUUUUACUCGUACAUGAUGAAGACAUUAAUGUUUGUGUGCACUCAGGUGGGGAAAAAGGAAUGCAAUAGUGCCAAAAUGAAGUUCAUAACAUGUUGUGAUCUACAGGAGACCAACGUAGACAAGUGAAGCCUCUCUCGCAUCAAUCGUCGUCUUUUGCCACACAUAGUCUCAUGUAUGACACUUUAAGUUUAUAAUUACUUGAUAGAUGUACUAAACGUUCGAAAGAAGAGAACCAAAAUGUGUUUGUAAUUCGUUUUUUUUUUUUUUGUGAAUUUGAAGAUCUUUAUUAUUUCUGAAGAAAUUAAUCCACGAAAUGUAAAUGACAGAACUUUCUACUAUCUUAGUCAUAGCUUGAAAUAGUAUCAGUGAGUGGUCAAGGAUCUAAUGCAUGUAGACUGAUGUUUCAUAUUGGUCAUUUACAAGUCGGUCCAAUAAAAAUCAAAACUUAAAUCUGUAAUAAAUGGCUACAAGACUAGCUAACUACUUCACUUGACCAACUUAAUGAAAAACUUUUAACAAAAUUCCGCAAAAGUCUUCAACUAAAAAAAGUCAUCUGAUCAUAGAAAACUAAAAUGGUAUUUUUAUUGACAUUUACUAUAGUAUUGAUUUUUUUUUUGUGCACCAAUUUUUCAUUAGAAAUUUAAAAGGUCUCAGGCUCAAAGUUCAGCCCGUGGAGGGUCCAUAACAAGAGAGUUUCUGAGAGUGGUUUUUGCCACUAUAGUAUUGAUUUAAAGUGCACUUUUAUAUGUAAAAUCACCAAAAUAUUCCCACCUACUAAAAUUCUCUGGUCCAAGGCGGUGAUAGUGGAUUAACAUAUGUAAGCAUUAAACAUUAUAUUAAGGAAAUGAUUUUACAAUUCCACUCAUAUAUUGACUUUUUUGUCAUUAACUUUUGUUGACUCUUGAUUAUUAAUGCCCACUCUUUUCGUGCCGCCACGAUCAAAGGACGUGAAGAAGAUUCAUGCCCAUUUUAUUUUGGUUAUCAACAAAACUAAGAGCGUAGCCGGCUUUAUAUUAAUGGAACUAGAGCCAUGGAACAUUGUCUUUUCUAUUUAAGUUACUAAUAACUAGUAGUUUUUUUGGGUGUUACAACGAGUCAACGACUAAUUUACAAAGGUUCCAAAGGACGUGAAGAAACCUUUUCGCAGAAAAUUCAUAUGUUUUUUUAGAAUUUCAAAUGUCAUCUCUUUUUUAAGCCACAAAAUAAAAUUUAUCCGCAAAUCUCGCAUGGAUCCAUAUUUGUCUUAAUCUCAUUUUUGUCGUAUUCUAGAUAGAAUAGCACACGACAAGAGUCGAGAGUAUUUGUCAGAUCUUUGUUGUUUUCGUCAGACCCUCAAUGCCUAAUAGAUGAUUGAUCUAUCUUUCCUUCCAACAAGGGCAACACACUUAUCAUGGGCCAUUGGUCACCUACUCACUCUCCUCUCUGUACUGAGGAUCUAAUUGUAGCACCUCCCAUCAAUUACGGUUAUGGUUAGUGGACUUUUCACGUCUGUUCCCUUGGUCUCUAGGUUCCACUUCGUAUGAUGGUCAGUGCAUUAAUUUUUAGAUAUUUGAACAAUUUUGUUUACUCAGUUUGUAAUUUAUUUUUUAUUUUUUUGCUAAGGUUACACGAUAUCUGACAUCAUUAGUUAUAAUUUUUUCAUUACUCCAGUUUAAACAUGUUUAAUUUAAAGUCAUUUUUAAAUAGGUGAAAGAAAAAGUAAAUAUAUUUCGGUAAUAUAAAUAACUAUUUUUUUAAUCUUUCUACAUGCACCACUACAUACUACAAAACGAGAUAUUACCUGAAUAUCCACAUAUAUUUCUAUAACUUUGUGUUCCACAUAUAUGAACAUGUCUAUUGGCCUUAGCUAGUAGUGAAUUUACUACAUCUGUAGCGAUAAACCAAAAGCUAUCAUGCCACCACACGCAUGCAACAAAAAUGAAAAGUAUUAAUGCAAAUAAAUAUAUAGAAAAGAAUAGCAAUAAUAUGUUUAGGAUUUGCAGUGCAUGUAUACAAACAAUGCAUAAACAAAUAGUGUGUUCUCUCCUUCUCCUCCUGUUCAAACAACACUCUAUAGUAACUUAUAUACUCUUCUUCUUCAGAUCAAUCUCUUUCUCUCGUUUCUUCUCCCACCACCAUUCGCGCGAAAACCUUACUCAUUGAGACCCCUUCUAUAUCUCCCAUUCCAUUCACACUAAACUGCACCGUUGACCCCACAACACUAGCCUCUGGACCAUCAUCCACCAUUGCUUCUUUCUCAUCUUUCGUUUGAACCUGAAGCAUGAACUCUAGGUUCCACAACAAGUCUCCCAUUGUUGGUCUCUCAACUCCAUUUUGAGCCAAACACUUCUCUGUCAACUCACAGUACUUCUUCACCUCCUCAAGCUUCACAUUCCCAUCAAGAAAAGGGUCUAUGAUCUCUUCCAUCUUCCCUUUCUUCACCAACUUCAUCGCCCAUUCGAUCAAAUUCACUUUCUCUCUCGGAAGAGAUGGAUCAAUGACCGGUCUCCCGCAUAGUACUUCAAGCAUUACCACACCGAAAGAGUAAACAUCUGACUUCUCAGUCAACUGCUGUCUUGUCAAGUACUCUGGAUCAAGAUAACCAAAGCUUCCUUUAACCGCGGUACUCACAUGAGUCUGGUCCAGAUCAGGACCAGUCUUAGACAAUCCAAAAUCCGCAACUUUGGCCAUGAAAUUAUCAUCUAAUAAAAUAUUAGCCGACUUCACAUCGCGGUGUAUGACCGCUCUUGUUGAGCCUGUGUGGAGAUAGUGAAGCCCUCUAGCUGCACCAACACAUAUCUCAAGCCUUUGUCUCCAACUCAACCUUUGAUUCUCUGAGUCAUACAAGUGAUCCUUAAGUGUCCCCUUCUCCAUAUACUCAUACACAAUGAUCAUCUCACUGUUCUCAUCACAGUACCCAAUCAAAGAAACCAAGUGUCUGUGUCUGAACUGAGACAGCAUCUCAAUCUCUGUCUUGAACUCAGCUAGACCUUGGCGAGAUUUUGGAGCAGCGCGCUUCACGGCUAUCUCGGUCUUGUCUCUCAAGACACCUUUGUAGACUUUACCAAACCCACCAACUCCAAUCACUAAACUUUCGUUAAAGUCAUCAGUUGCUUCUUUGAUUAAAGCCAAAGGGUAUCGAUAACCGAUCUUCGAGCUGGAAAAUAUCAAGCUUUCACCUGUUUCGUUCUGCUGCUUAAUCUCCUCAUCUCCAGUCUGUAUUUGUCUUCUUCUCCUUAUGCACAAAGAAAGUAUAACCACACCAAACACUAAAGCAACACACAGAGCUGCAGCUACUCCACCUAUCAAUCCAAUACUCGGUUUCGAACUCUUUUUACCCUUCGGAGAAACAGCAUCAGAAGCAUCAACACUCUUCUUAUCAUUGCUAAGCUUCAUAAUCUCAAACCCGUUAAUGAAAGACACAGGGUAAAAAGACACGUCCAUAACUCCACCAAUAGAAAGACUCAACUCUCCUUCCAAACUCAUCGCCUUCAGCAUCACCGCGUCGACAAAAGAAGGAGCUCCAAAGGUUCCAUUCGCGACUUCAGACAUAUCAACAGACUCAACUCUCUCCGAGUUAACGUAAAUGUCGAAGCUUAUCUGACGAAGAUUCCCGAAAUGAUCCACUAUGAUGUUACAGAAGUGGAACCUGAGAAAGUAAUCGAAACCAGGGUCGACUCUGAACGUCCACGUUAAGUUGGCGUUUGUGUUUGGAUUGUCCUCGGAGUUCAACCUCGUGGCGGUUCCGUAGACGUACACUGGCGCAAUGUCCUCUGUUAUGUUGUUGCCACCAGCGCUGAAGUUAACAGCUUUGAGGUUUACCACAGGGAGACCAAAGUGAGCUACUCCCAUGUAGGUAGAGUCAGCAUCCCAUUGCCUCCAUAGCUUGUCUUGACCACGAGAGACGCUCAAGUUCCCCAUGUUUAUCCGAGAGACGGUCUCCAUGGCGUGAGUGCUGAGUUUGCGACUCUUUGUCGUCGUACUAAUGAGUCCUGCUUCCUCGGGGAGGAGAUUCUCUGGAAGCUUGAAGACUUCCAAGGCGUUGACGAAGGCGAAGGAGCCUGUUUCGGGACGGAAGUGGAGAGAGAGAGUGCUGGUGGAGAUUUUUAAAGUGUAUUCUUUCACAACAGAGGUCGUUGAAGGUUUGUUGUGUCGGAACAGAGUAAAGUUCUGAGAGGAAACAGAGAAUCUAGCUGAGGUUAGAUCUCGGGGGGAAGAUGAGGCGAAGGGUUGGAAGUAGAGACGAAUCAAGAACCAUCCGUGUUGGUUGAUCGUGAAUCGGUAAGUUGAUUCGUUGGAGAAGACUCUCGCCGUCUGAAACAGAGUCGACUCUGUUCCUGGAGGAAGGGUGUUGGAUUCGGUGGUUGUGACGGAGACUCCUCCCGAGGAAACGUUGAUUUCCCGACCGAGGUUGCUGUCGGAUACGAAGGUUCGGUUGUUGACUGUUGCAUUCUCCGGCGAUCCACAGUUGAUGAAGAAAGUGUCGGAAGAAGCAGAGGAGACCCGUGAAAAACAGAGGAUUGUUAGAACUAAUAAAGUUGAGAGCUUUAGGCUUAUCAUAGCCAACGAUGAACAGAGGAGAGCACAGUUGAAUCUUGGAAGAGAGUUUAAGAACAGAGAGGCAAAUGGGUAAUCACGAAAUCUUUAGGACACACAGAUUAUGUCGGAGAAGAUAAAAGUAAAGGUGGAAAGAAAGGUUACAUGAACAAAAACAUUUACAUCAGCUCAAUAACUAACGCUUUUACACUUGUUGGAGAGAAGAAAAAGUCUAGAAAGUUGUUAUUUUAGAGUCUUGAAAAGUGGUUUAUAAAUCAAGAAGACGAGAAAAAGAGAGAGAGAGAGAGAGAUGAUACACAAGUUGAUUAACAAAUCUGUUGACAAAAGCUGUAAUAACAAAUGUAAAAUCAACAAGAAGAAGGGGGAGAGGCACGAGAAAGUUUUUGUAUUUUUAUGUAUAUUUCGUUUUCAACGUUUGGGUUUUGACAAGCUCAUCAAGCUGGAAAUUCAAUAAGAUGUUAAGAAUAAUAGUAAUAUAAUAGAAAUGAGGAUAAGAAAGCCAAAAAGAGGAGGAAGAAGAUGAGAUUGGAGAGGCAUAAUAAAUGAUAAAUCAAAGAUAAUUAUUUCCCACCGGCUUCAAACGUGCCGUUAGGUUUGAGUUGUUCAAGACAACGACAGUAUAAUUGUCCUUUUUGAUAGUAUUUGAAUCAAUCAGUAUUUAUUCAUGUAUGUAUCAGAGAAAAUAUUGAUUUUUAUUAUUAAAAUAUUUUUAUUUAACAAAUAGAUUAAAAUUUUAAAACAUUUAUAGUAAUGAAUAUAAAUACUUCAUCUGUUUCAAAAUAACAUUUAAAAUAUUUGAAAACAUAUUAACAAAGUUAUUAAAAAUUUCUACUUUACCUAUAAUUAGUAUAUUAUUUUAUGUGAUUUUUAGUUAAUGAGCUAAGAAGAGAGAUAAAAGUUAUAAUUUUUAUUUAACAAAUAUAUUAAAAAUGUAAAACAUUUAUAUUAAAAUAAUAUAAAUCAAAGUAAACAUUUUAUAUAUUUUUUGUGAGUUUAACAGUUUUACUUGUAUUAUAUUGAAAAUUAGUUUUCUUACUAUAAAUCACAUUAUAUGUAAUUCCAUUCCAAACUUUAAAUUUGUUAGUGUAAAACAUUAAUAAACCAUUAAAUUAAAAGACUUCCACAAAAUGAGAUUGGUUCGAAGAAUGAAAUGAACAACAUAAUGUGAACAAAAGUGUCAUAUAAAUAGAAACAUUCCUAAUUACAUUGUUUCUAAAGAAUGAAAUGAAAUCUCUUUGUGAUGUCAAAAAAAAAAAGAACUCUCUGGGUGUUAUACAAACGACAACGUCUUAUUAUGUAAACAAUACUUUUUCGAAAAAACAUAACAUCAAAAAAAUAUAACUAAAGCAGUUUUAAUUUUUUUGGACAUGUUUAAAUUUUUUUGGUCAAAAAAAAAUAUUAAAAAUAGGAAGAACAUGUUUAAUUAAUUACAUAAUUUAUUUUGAUCAUUAUCUAGCUGUUUUUUGUUAUUACAUGUAAUGUAUAUUGCUUUUGAUAUACAUGCACCACACAAUAUCAUAUAUGAUGAUAAUAUAUAUAGUAGCCGAUCCACGCCUCCACAAACAAAAGUUCAUUUGGGUAUCACUAAAUAGUAUUGUUUAAUGUCGUUGAUAUAUAUGUUUUCUAUGCAACAUAUCGUAUAUUUUUAAUUAAGAGAAUAUUUGGACUAUGUCUUGAGGUGUUCCGUGUAUAAACAUUCUACGUUUAAACUUUUAUUACCAACUAUAAUUAGGAGACUAUCGUCUAUCAAGUUUUAGGAUUGCAUAAACUCGUGAUUAAUUUAUUCCUUCUUCCGACUAGUGUCAUUAUUUAUUCAUCAAAUCAGAAAAUAUCACAUGGUUGGUUUGUGAUCUAAGGAAUUUCUGUUGAGAAAUUUACUCAAAAAUAAUAUACACCAAUUGUUAAAAACGAAUUCUAAAAAAAGAACAAGCAGAGACAUUGGGAUCAUGUUCUUCUAUGCAUUAAGAGCAUUUGGGAUGAGUGAAGAUCUUGUGCUUCUGCAGUUCUGCUUGAUAGGCAAGUGAACAUAGACCUCGUGAACUUCCUGCUGACAAACAUCUCUCUUGUCUCGAUCAAUGGCCUGACAAAACAAACAGAGAUUGUGACUAUCACAUUGUCAAGAACAUGUACAAAGAAACCCAAAAUCAGAAUCAAUACGAGCCUGCUAGAAAGAUUUUUUUUUGAUCAAACAACCUGCUAGCAAGAUACAUAACAUCACAAUUCAACGGGAAGGAAUAAACUUCAUGCUCUUACUCAUUGAGAAAAUGAUUGAGGGUACAAUCUAUUGCAAAGACUACCUACUGUAACAGGGAAAUAAUGAAAAUUGGUCCCUUUUUCAAUAAAACCUAAGAUAUAAUAUACAUGAGCAAUCAUAUAAGAUGAUGGCAGCUGGAACUUGUUGCUUGUUUCACAGACUAUCCUUUAAGCUGAUUUUGAUGUUCUGCACUUUGAUGGACACCUGUAACUUUUGAUCUUCCAUUUCUUUCAAGACCGAAAGUAGGUUAGUCCUGUAGGCUUCACAUCUCCUGUUUGCUAAUUCCAGCUCGUUUCUGAGCUCAAUAAUCUUCUUGUCCAUUUCAUCCUGCAAAACCAGAACCAAUAUGGUCAUCCAUUACAAAACACUGACUGUGCAGGACAAAACCAGAACAAAAGAUGCGUUACCUCGGGCUCAUCUUGCUGAGAGUCCUCAUUACGGAGUAUCUGCUCUCCACCACUUGCAGAGUUCCCUUUAACAUGCCCGUUAGCCAUAGUUCUCCUAACUUCGUUUUUCAUUUCCAAGGACACAGUCUUGGCAGCUUCUUGCAGAGCAACUAGAGCGACGUCACAAGUAUACAGAGAUUUCCCCGCUUCUUGCACAAAACUAAAAGCUUUAUGGCGUAAGGUGUUGUACCGGACAGUAUGAGACUCCAAGUAAUUAUCAUACGCAUGCAAACCAUAGUCAUCGAAUAUAACACUGCUCUUGGCAUUUCUCGUCCAUCUUUUCAGGAUAUAGUAAGGCGGAAGCGUAAGGAGAUUGGUGACACGGAAGACCGCCAAUAUAUGUCUACACACAAUCCCAGAGAACUCAAACAUCUGGCAACUGCAGUUCGCUCUCAUCUCCAAAAUGUUGAACUUAACGCAAUGAGCCUUGUGAGUCUCUCCGUACUUCGCAACCUGGUAGGUACCGAGAUCCCCAUCGUCAUCAGCUUUGGACGCCAUGAAAGUCAAAGUCCCCACAAGCUCCUCCUGAAACCUCGUGAACAGCUUCCUCGUGUAAAGCUCAGACGCCUGCUUCUCCAUCGGAGACGGAGUCUUCAGAACGGGAGGCGAGUUCAUCGUGUCGUAAUCCGCUUUAACUUCUUUCUCGAGACGACUCUCCAAAGCUUUCUCGUACAGCUUAAAGAACUGGCUCAGAUUAGUCGAAGCGUUGAUGUAACCAUCAAAAUACGAGUUGAUACUGUCACUACGCUGAGUGGAAGACAUCUCCGCGAAAAAUGUAUCACGGAGAUAGACAGGAACCCACUGGCGUCGAUCAGAGUACAACGCUUGUAGCCAGUCAUGAUCCCUCAGCUCAUACUUAUCAAGAAGCGAAAACCAGCAGGACUCAAAAUCCUCAACAGAGUCGGUCACAUUCACACUCUUGUGUAAAUCAGACUCAAACGAAGGAUGCCUGAGAAACACAUGAGACAACUUCUCCUGACAUUUCUUAAAAAUAUGCCACUUGCAGAACCUGUGACGAGCCUCAGGAAAAACCUGCAUCACAGCAGCACGUAUAACCGCGUCGUGAUCAGUAGUAAUCGAAACAGGAGAGCGUCCCGACAUCGCUGAUAACCAAGUCUUGAAAAGCCACACGAAAGAAGCCUCAUUCUCAUUAACAAUAAACGCGCAUCCAAACAGAAUCGGCUGCCCAUGAUGGUUCACACCAGUGAAAGGAGCAAAAGGCAAACGAUACCUAUUAGACCUGUAAGUCGUAUCAAACGUCACCGUAUCACCAAAGUAAGUAAAAUCAGUUAUAGCUUUGGGAUCAGCCCAAAACACGUUACCAACAGACUCAUGAUGAUGAUGAUCAUCCUCGACGGAGUAAAAGAAGGAGGGAUUAUCAGCAUUCAUCUGCCUCAAGUAAUCAAGAAGAAGCUGAAUCUCUCCCUGUAUACUCUUCUGCCUAUUGUUCCUCAUGUAAUUCCUACAAUCCACCUCGGUAAACCCAACUCUGCUAAUCCCACCGUACUCUUUAAUCAGAGCGGACAUUAUCCUCCUGGGCCCCAUCCCAGCGGCCUGCAACGUGUCAAUCAAAGUCUUGGCGGGGCCCGAGAUCUGCCUGUGGGACCUCAAGCAGUGGACCUGAUCUGGAGGAACCAGCUCGUGAUUGUGCUCUUUAACGAACCCAGAUACGGCCCAUUUACCGGAGGAGUCGUGCAUCUUAACGGAUAAGGAGGCUUUGCAACCGACACGUGUGAUGGUUCUGGGACGUUUGAUCUCUCUGUCCUUGGUGCGUUUCUCGUUCAUGUUCCUGAAGCCUUCUUUGGCGCAGACGAACUGUCGCUGGAUGAUGGCGCCGUCGCGGCGGGAGCGGCGGGAGGAGCUGACGCGGGUGCUGAAGCCGAUGCGGCGGGCGUAGGAGUUGUAGAAGGCUUUGGCGGAUUCCUCGGAUUCGAACUCGAGGCCUUCGUAUGGCUCGAGGUCGCCGUCGGGGAAGUAGGUGGCGGCGUCGGAGGAGUUGGUGGUGUCGUCGAGCAUGUCGAUCGCGUCGUUGGGCUCGAUGUCGAUGCCGUCGUCGUCUACGUCGAAGUCGAGCACUUCUUCGUUAUCCAUUGCGAGAUCGUUCGUCGGAGAACAGAAGAAAUCGACACAGAGGGAAGGAGGAUCUUGAUUUUAGAGAACCCUAAAUCGAGUGGGAAUGAUGAAGAACUAGUGGAAAUAAAAGGGCUUUUGCGCAAAAUCUAUAUGUUGAAACGAAAUAAUACGAUACUGUUUACUUCCAUACGAUGUCGUUUUAGGCGUUAUCAUAGGAUGCACAAAUGCAAAGAAAAUGAUCCCAAAAUAACUGGCCGGGCCUGUCCACCAGUUACUUCUCUAAUACCGCCAAUAUAUAACCUGAUCGAUUUAUCAAAGGUUCAAAACCAUGACACUGAUCACUAGUCACUUUGAAAGCCACCUACUCAUAAAUGUGUUACCGUUUGCAUUAAGGUAGACAUGAAGUUAAUUUAAUGUCAUCAGUGGAUGUUUUUAGUGUAAUAAAACUAUUACUAUUCCAAUAAAUUUUGGUAUGCCAUGAUUAUACAGUGUAAUUACAGUUUACGUAUGGCAUGAUAAGUCAGAUAUUCUUAUACACAACUCAACAGUGAAUCCAUACUGGAAUAGUUAGAAGUUUUUAAAAUACUAGAAAGAAAAAUUAAGUUUUGGCAGAUGUUCUAAAAAUCGAUAUAAACAGCAAUUUCCUUAAUAUUGGUUUGACCAUAUACAAACUGAUCCAAAUCCAAUGGACAUAUAUAUUCGGAGUAAAGGGUAGAACCGGUUUAAAAUAUGAUCAUCUUAAUUUUUAACCCCAAGGCUUUCACUCACAGCUUGAUCAGAAAACAAUAAUGCGUUUGUGAAUCAAAAUCUAUCAUUCAGAAGAAUCGGUAAAAAGGAACAUAAAACAAAAAGCCAAGUAGCCAACUCACUCGAGAGAUAAUAUUCAAAACACAAAGAUUGAUGAUGUGAUUAAUAAUAAUUAAGAACAAGGUCAAGGUUACACCUUAAUAGCAUACUUUCUAAUUGGAAAGUACAUUUCUUUCUUCUUCUCCCUUUCUGUCUUCAGCGAUGCCUGUCCAAAAGCAAGCAACAAUUCAUUCAGUAUCAACACACCAUAUGUUCAUUACUCAAAAUCAGUUUUUUUGCUUCUACUAAACACAAUACAGUAAACAGAGAUUGCGAGAUAUGAAUAAAACAUGAGUUUACCUGAUGCUUGGUGAGUCUCCUCCUGAUAGCUCUAGUCUUCUUGGGACGAAGAUCAAGAGGCAAAAACUUCUUGUUCUUGUAUGCCUCUCUCAGAGCAAGCUUCUGCUUCUGUGAGAUCACUGUCAACACCUGAGCGAUUGAUUUCCUCACCACCUUACUUUAAAAACCAAAAACAAACAGAACCCAUUUGAGAUCUAUGCUUCCUUAAUCACUACCGCUAGCUAAAUCAUAAACAGAGCUAUAUAGUAGAGAUUACGUGUUCGUCACGUUAAUCACUCAAUGUGAAAAAACAAUUGCUAAAUCACUCAAAAUGUGACAAAAAUGAAGAUGUGGAAAAACAUACAUCUUAGAGAGCUUGUUGGGAGCACCUCCAGUGACCUUGGCGACGCGGAGAAGAGCUAGCUCGGCCUUGAAAUCUUUCAACUGAGUCGAAAGAUCGGUUUUUGAUUUCUCUCUCAGCUCAUGAACCUUGAUCCUCGCUGUUCAUGUUCCAUUUCACAACACAAGUCAAGACCCAAACAUAAACGAAAAAGAUGUUUAACAGUCGAGGAAUGUAAGAAACUUAGACUGGCUUACCCAUGGCGUCUUCGAGUUCUCUGGCUUCCCCUUACUCUGUUUGAGUGUUGUGUUAUGGGGACGAUGACGGCUAAGACUUUUCGAUCGGAACUUAGGUUAUAUUUACUUGGGCUUUGACUGAGGCCAUUGUUAGUGGGCCUGUUUUGAUAUUAUAUGGCCCAUUGUGUAAUAGUUACACAAUGUGAGUCGUAUACGUAAUUGUUUUUUUUUCUUCUUUUAAGAAUAUUAAUGGUUUUGUUAUUUCUUACAAGUCAAAGGCUAUUUAAAUUACUACUAGUACAUAUUUCUUUCUUCACGCUGGUUUUUUUUCUUAUAACAGAAAUUUUGAAAUUUUAAUUCAUAAUAUUUAAUAAUGUUUACGAAAAUGUUGAUGGUAAAAUGUUUAAAAUGUAAACCACUUCUUUAAAACUGAAUUGAACUCGCAAUUUCGAAUACCUUCAGAACUCCUAAACCCACCAACUAUGAUAUCCUUCACAUUGUUAUAUCGGUUAACUCGCUAAAUAACAACUGAUUGGUUCUAUUACAUUUUUUUCGAAAGACAAUCGGUUCUGUUACUGCAUCUAUAUAACAUAUAGACAUUGUUUAUGUCAUAUGUGGUAUGUCAGUUCAAAUUAACAAGAAACAUGAUUAUACCAUUUGUAGACGAAUCAAGAUCUUAAUCUAGAAGGUGUUUGUGCAUGUUACUUUCUUAUACUCUAUAUUUCAUAAAAUGAUUGGAGGGAGUACAAGGCAAAAAAAUAUAGGGAAGAAUUAUUCAAACAAAGGAAAAGAUGUUACAUGUAGGAUAUACCACUUGCAUAGAAUACACGGUUGGCAUGAAAAAUCUGUUUAGAAUGUCCUUUUCUUUUCGUUUUUGACAUCUAGAGUUAGACUGAAUGAAAGAAUUCACUUACAAAGAAGUUUUAGUUGAAGACGUUAUGGUGAUUAAUAAAUGUGACAGAGAAAUGUAAUUACGAGUAGAGUGAUGUUAAUGAUCUCUAACAAAUACAACCGCUCUAAAGUGGCUUUCCUUGUUUCCGGGAGUCGCUCGAGUCCUUUGGCUUAAGGCUCUUUCCUUCGCUUGUUACAUGUUUCUUGGGCCACAUUGUUAGGAUUUGAAGAAAUAGAAGUACACGCCGUUUAUAACUUUAACGUAAGAGCUAAAUCAACUUUUCUAACCACAACUUUUUUUUUUCUUUUUUUGACUAAACCACAUAAAUUUUAUUGUGAUCAAUUUCAGACUUCUUAUAAGAUUUCGACUUGUCUCAAUCUCCCUAGCUCUCUACGACUAAUCAAGUACAACGAUUACAUGUAUGACAAAAAAAUCUGAAGAAAAGUAAACUUGACUAAAAUAUUAAAAAUACUUUCAAAUUUCAAUAUUCACUUUUCAAAAAUUAUUGAAGUCAUUCCCGGACAAUUCCGUAAAACCUCAUAAAGAAAUAUUUGUUCUAAGGUCACUUUCCACUACCAAUCUAAGUUACCUCAAAAAUAUAUACAAAUAAUUUCAGUUCUGUAACUCAACAUGCAGUAUGUUAAUCAGAAUAAUAUAUGGUUUAGAAUUUACUUGAACUGAAACAUUGUUUUAUAAAAUGUGUAUUAUAUAGUUAACACAUGUUCUACUAAAAAGUAGGCAUAUUUAACGGUUUGAGAAUCCCUAAAUGGAAAACUGGCCACAGUUUUGGGAUAUUUUAUUUUAUUCCACACUUUUAGCUUUACUCAAACGAUUCAUUCCUCAAAGGCUGGCUGCAUAUUUUGUUUAUUGUCGAUGAUAUGACAUGUUGAUAUGCUGAUCAAUCAAAAAAAUGUGUAUUUGUCACUUUGAACAUUGAAUCAUAAAUAGUUUUAGAAACUUUUUUUUUUUGAAAAAGUAGUUUUAUAAACUUCUAUCAUCGUAUUGAGGUGUUAAAUGUCUUUAUUAUUAAAUUAAUAAAGAAAGAUGUUAAAAAUAUUCAAUGGAGCAGAACUUUUAUACCUAAGUAUUUUUAUACCUAGGUUUAAUUAGUCAAUAUUAAAAAAAAAUUAUAUUAGUUAAUAUUUUUAUAUGUAAAAUAGUAGAAAAGGUAGAUUUGACAUUUUGUAAGUUUUGUAUGCUUUAGGUUCCGUAAGCUCAUGCGCUACUGUAGAUCUCACAUUUGAUGGUUGACUUUGUUAUGAUCGUCCGUUUAGUAUUUUAUAAUAUAGAAAUAACAAGUAUAUAACAUUAUUCAUCUCACUUUCCAGCUUGAUGUUCGAUGAGAUUAGAGAACUUCUACGACAUCAGUUGUUUAAGUGUCUUGUAUGCCCUUAUCUUAAUAUAUUGUAUUUGCUUCUUUGUAAUAGUUUGUUAUUUGGCCAUGAUGACUUUAUUAUCAUGUUGUAUGAACACUUUUUCUAUUUAUAGAGAGUAAUAAGAAUCUAUAAAAUUGAAGUUUGUCCAAAAAAAAUAAAAUAAGGUGGAUAGAAUGUGACCAAUGACAGUGCGAAAAAUGUUAAAUAUCUGUCAAGAGAUUGAAAUGGUUUUGUUAAUUAACCUUAGCAUAUUAUAAUGUAGAUAUGAGUUUCAAUUUGGUGAUGACAAUCUUUCAAAAGAUAUGUCAAAGACUCAAAGUUUUACAACGCAAAAUUGUAUAGCCAAUUUACACAAACUUUGCUUUCUUCUCCCCAAAAUGAAAGAAUUCUGAGGCAUGGGAGUUUCUGUACGAUUUGGAGGCUAAUGAAAUAUUUUAAAACUUGAGGUGUUAAUCGUGUUAUUUUGAAAGUUGAGGGGGUGUUUCCGAACGUCGCCAUACUUGAAAAGUUGCCACUUGUCAGAAAAUCUGUCAAUGACUUUUUUUUUUGUCAAGAAGCAAACAAAACGUGUUGGAGUGCGUGGAGAGGAAAGGGAUCCGUUAUUUCGUCACUAUCAAACCAAAACGGCGUCACAUUGUGGUACCAUCUUUUCUUAACUGCCCAAUAUAAGCAGAGCCGUUCAGCAAUUACAUAUCUCUUAUCAUUAAACUCGUUCGUCUCCAACAAAACUUAAAACAGAGAAAGUAAGAGACUUGGAUCAACCUCUUCUUGAAAAUGGUAUACUCUCUGCCUUCUAUCUCUUUCAGACCACAUCUGAAAAUAUAUUAACUCGUUGUUCUUGUGUUGUGUGAAGGCUAGUGAAACAGAUAACAUCAUGUAUGAAGAGGUAUGUGUUCUAUUAUGCUAGUUAAAAAAAGAGUGUGUUAUGUUCUUUAUAUAGAUAGAGGAAUCUGUGUGUUUGAAUGAUGAUUAAUUAUAUGCAGAGUUUCAUUAAGAACACUCGAGGAAUGAAGCUAUUCACGUGCAAGUGGUUACCAGCAAGUCAAGAGCCAAAGGCUUUAAUCUUCAUCUGCCAUGGAUAUGCAAUGGAGUGCAGCAUCACCAUGAACAGUUGAGAUCAGCCCACUUCAUGAUUUUCUAUUAUUCAUUAAAUAACGAAGUUUUAUUAAUGUUUUGUGAUGAAUAUGAUUGGAUUAGGUACUGCAAGGAGGCUUGUGAAGGCAGGAUUUGGAGUGUAUGGAAUGGAUUAUGAAGGGCAUGGCAAGUCUGAUGGGCUUGGCGCUUAUAUUCCAAACUUUGACCAUCUCGUUGAUGACGUGUCUGCCCAUUACACAUCCAUAUGCGGUAAUCUUGACUUUUAUACAGGGUGAAUGUGUAAUAUUUUGACUUUGGAAUGCUUAUCUUUUGAAAACGUUGGCUCUGGACACACGGUCAAAGCCACUCUUCGUUUACCAAUUACCAUUCACAAAUAGAAAAAAUGUGAACUACUCAAUAAUUAGCAUGAUAAAAAAAUGUUCUUGAGUUGAUGUUAUUGGAUGAGAGAAAGUGACUCGUACGUAACUUUUUGUCGUAUCACUUUGUCAGAAAAUGAUUACGAUGUGUUUUUGUCUGUGGUUGGAAUGAUUAGAGAGAGAAGAGAAUAAAGGGAAGAUGAGGUUUCUGCUAGGAGAAUCAAUGGGCGGGGCAGUGCUUUUGUUGUUACACAGAAAGAAGCCUGAGUUUUGGGAUGGGGCCGUCUUGGUUGCUCCAAUGUGUAAGGUAACAUUCAUUCUAUCUUUUUAGGUUACUGACAGUUCUCACUCGUAAGGAAAAAAAUAAAAUUAUAAAUAGAAAGCCACAACUGCAUAUAUUUUAUAAAUUCUACAAAAACUUUGUAUAUAUUGGAAGUAGAAAAUGUAUGAGCGAGCAUGGCUUAUAAUUUGAGAGGCCAGUAGGGGAAAAGUAUUAACUGGAUAUAUGAGAAGAAGAAAGGUAUUAUGAAAAAUACAAUUUUCAUUAUAUCUUCCAUACAGAGAUUAGUGGCCACCUAGUUUGUAUUUUUCUCUUUAAUUUUUUGACAUAUUUAAAACAUUUUACUACUUUGGCGUGGGCAACAUUUUGCUGCCUAUCAGAUCCAAUAAGAACGGACAUAUGCAAAUGCCAAAAUCUUGGCUGUCAAAUAUUAAAGGGGGCAUUAUGAUGUGAAACUAGCUGAUUUUAAUCAAAUAUUGGGUGUAACUGGUUAUCAAUUUAUGGAAUAUCAUGAAUGAAUAGAAUUAGAAAAAAAUGGAAUGUAGAUGAAUGGAAUAAGAGAAGUUAUGGAAUAAAAAAAAAUUGAAUUCCAUUCCACUCAUUCCACUUAUUCAUGAAUUUUUUUAACCAUGAAUGUGUUAUAACUACAUUCCAUUUUUUUUUCAGACAUUCCAUAAGGAAUCAUUAGAAUGAAAUUUGUUUUUUAUUCCAUUCAAAUGGUAAAAAAAUUUUGGAAUCUGCAGGAAUAAACCAUUCCAAAUAAUCUCAUUCCAAAAACUUGUAAUCCAGUUGCACCCAUUGUAUUAGUUACGUGUGAAGUUCAACCUCUUAAAGCAUGAAUACAUUAAUGAGGAAAAAUAUAUAUUUAAAUAUAUAUGAAGAUUAGUCAAAUAUCUUGUUAAUUAUUAAAGCGCUCCCACUAAGUUUCUGAAGUAAUCAUGCAAAUAAACUAAUUUAUAAUGUAUACUCAAAGCACAUGCAUAUGCAAAUCACUGAAGGUGCCUGGAUGAGAAUAUUACUCACUAAUCUUCGUUUGUUAUUAUAUAUGUCACAGAUCGCAGAAGAAAUGAAACCAAGCCCUUUGGUUAUUUCGAUAUUGUCGAAGCUAAGCGGGGUUAUACCCACAUGGAAAAUCAUCCCUGGCCAAGAUAUUAUUGAGACUGCUUUUAAACAGCCAGAAAUCAGGAAACAGGUUCUUAAGCACAUACUUAUGACCUAUUAUAAUGAAACGUAACGUAUAGUUCAACUAAUUAUAUGAAGUGAAAUUAUUGAAGGUUAGAGAAAAUCUUUACUGCUACAAAGGACGUCCACGUUUGAAGACUGCUUAUGAGCUCUUGAGGGUUAGCACCGAUCUUGAGAAGAGACUUAAUGAGGUAUUUAACUCUUCGUUUACUAUGCAGAAGUACCUGUCUAUCAUUUUUAAACUUCAUAAUGCUCUUAAAGUUUGUACAUUAUAACUAAGAUUUUUGCACCAAAUCGUGAUGUCAUAAAAAACCAGGUCAUUUGCCUAUUGCUCCAGUCCGAGCCUGCUACGUAGCGCUGAAAAUUGAAAUGUUAUAUAUAUAGUUAGGAAGUUAAUUUUCGAUUAAUUUCAUGUAAUGGUUGAUAGGUUUCGUUACCGUUCUUGGUGUUGCAUGGAGAAGACGACAAAGUCACGGACAAAGCAGUGAGUAGAGAACUUUACGAGACUGCGUCGAGUUCAGACAAGACUUUCAAGUUGUACCCUGGGAUGUGGCAUGGUUUACUGUAUGGUGAGACACCAGAGAACAUUGAGAUUGUUUUUGCUGACAUCAUUGGUUGGUUGGACAAGAGAGCUUCUGAUGGACAUGGAGGGUUUGAAUCCGAGCUUAAACGUGAAAAUGAUGCUUUCCAAUUGAAAGAGUAGGUAGUUGCAUUAUUUAUCAAUAUCACAAACGAAUAAAAACAAUAGUCAAGUUCUGUUUGUUUUCCUUAUCUCUCUCUUUUCUCUUGUGUAUCUUUGUUGUAAAAUGAUAUUUGUAACUUAAAUUUAAAAUUAUGGGUAUUUGAUUUGGUUAAACAAUGAUGAUUGUAAUAUUAAAAGUUAAGAACAGUUCUUAACUUAACAAAUUAAAAGUUAAGACAGUAUAAAUUCUGUCAUAGUCGCUACCGCUCUUCAACCAAAAUGGAAGCUGCAAAAUCUCAAGUAAAAGUCAUUGUUACUAUGUAUUCAUUAGCAAAUAAUUAUAUAUCAACAAGUCCAUUAAUGAUUUACAGAAGUUGACUUGUACUUUAGUUGUUGUUACGAGAGCUACUAUUGAUGUUAGAGAAUGGAUGAAUGCAACAAUAGUUGAUCAAGGAAGGUACACAAGAAGGUGACAUACAACAAGGCUCUCACAUGGAAACGCUCACCAAGAAGUUGGUUUAAAUGCAAUUAUGAUGUUUCUUAGUCAGUGUUGAUAAGAUGGUUGGUAGGUUCCAAAACCAUAGCAGGGCCGUCUCAAAUUAAUUUUAGGCCCUGUUCAGAAAAUAAUUUAAUCGUACAUUUUAUCAAGUAAUUUUAAAAUUUAAUAAUUUUGUCUGAUUUUUUAAUUAUAAAUUCUAAAUUUAGCAUUAUAUCUAAAAUUUUAAAAUUUCUAACCAUAAUUUAUUUAUAUAUUUUGAAAAAUUCUUAAAUUUUUUAUUUUUAUAUUUUGGGGCCGUGUUCAACAGCUCCACUUGCGCGUGCUGUUAGACGGCCCUGGACCAUAGUACUGUUGAGGAGGCUGAAUUAUCUACACUAAUCUGGGCACUACAAUCUUGUUGGUCACUAGGAUACACACCCAAGUUGAAUUUGAAGAAGACAACCAAAACAUUUCUUAAAUCCUCAAUAUGAUGGUCACUGAUGUUCACCUCUGUUUGUAUAAAAAGAGAUCAGACAACCAAUGUGCAAAUGUUCUUGCUAGAAAGUACAUACAAUCUUCUGGUAUGUAGUCUUUUUGACAUACUUGUCCUUCUUCUUAAAAGAAUAUGUAGUUACUUACUAAUUUAGUGUAAUGAUAUAAAAUUGAAUUGGCAAAAAAAAAGUAUCAUUAAGUAAAAAGUAUUUGGCUAACUCAAAUACUAAAAUAGAGGAUACUAAAAUAGAGGUUUAGUUGACUCUCAAACUCAACUAAAGCACAUAAACAUUAACAACAACUCCACUCUAAUAACUCCACAUCCCAAUCACACAAUACCAAAUUCUCACAUGCUCCUUAUAUAAACCCAUUAAACCAUUCCUCAGUAAACAUCAACACACAUAAGCAACUCUAGAAUCCAAACUAAAUACCAAAAAUGGCCAAAACUCUUCACAUAACAAUCAUUCUCUUCCUCAUGGCCUCUAGUCUCCUCGCAAAUAUCGACUCCGCUAGACUUCUUGAUGAGAUCCAACCUCAGUCUCAGUUAGUCCCUACAGGCCAACUCCCCACCGUGGCUCCAACCGAAGCUGAGGAAGAACCUGCACCAUCAACUACACUCCCAGCUGGUCCAGCAGGGGGUGGACACGAGCCAUUACUCGAGUUCUUCAUGCACGACGUGCUAGGCGGGUCACACCCAUCAGCUCGUGUGGUCACAGGAAUAGUAGCACAAACCGAAGUGAACGGCAUACCAUUCUCAAAGGCCAGCAACAGCAUCUUCCCUGUAGACAACGGAGUCCCACUAGUCAACUCAAACAACAUCAACAGCGUCAUCAACCCAAACACAGCUCCACUUCUCACCGGCCUUGGCGGCGCUCAAACCACCACAGUGAUCCAAAACACCAACGGCAACUCCAACGACGCCCUCAGCACCAACAGCCUCCCCUUUGUAACCGCGGGAAACCUCCCUCCAGGUGCUGCGCUCCAGCAUCUCAUGUUCGGUACCAUAACCGUUGUGGACGAUGAGCUAACCGAGAGCCACGAGCUCGGGUCAGCGGUUAUAGGGAAGGCUCAAGGGUUUUACCUGGCUAGUUCAUUGGAUGGGACUAGCCAGACUCUUUCUCUGACUGUUCUGCUAGACAGAGAGCAUGAUCACCAUGACACUUUGGAUGAUGCCAUUAGCUUCUUUGGUGUUCACAGGACAGCCUCUCACGCCUCUCAGAUUGCAGUUAUUGGCGGGACAGGGAAGUUUGAGCAUGCUAAAGGGUAUGCAAUAGUGGAAACACUGCAUAACCAGAACAACCAGCAUAUCACUGAUGGUCAAGACACCAUCCUCCAUUUCAGUGUUUACCUCACCUACAAAGCUUGAGUGUUGACCAAGCUAUGAUUGCUUAUGCUUGUGGAUUUUAUCCUUUUGUUUGUAUUAAAUGAGACUGUUUCAAUCAAAAAUCUUGUUUCAUUCACACUUUGACAAAUGGGUACAAAUGUCACAGUAACUUUUAUAGCAAUGUGACUGAACUUUCUAAGAGGCCAAUCCUAGACCUGACAACAAAAACAAUUUUGUAUGCACAUCUCCCUUUGAUGAUGCAACAACAACAACUACUCUCUCACUAUUCUCAAUCAAAAUACAGAGAAUGCAAAAAAAAAAAAAAAAGAAUGAAAAGAAUCACUUUGUAACUCUACAUGAAGACUUCAAGCAACAACUCAUCCACUAUCAUACUUUCUAACUCACAAACCACUCUCUCAUCAUCAUCAUCUUCAAGUUUGAACCAAUCAUCAAGGUCUAUUACCGCCACUUUGUUGAAUGAUUCUUUCUUGGCUAGCUUCUCUUGUCUGGCAAGUACUUUACAGAGUUCUUGUUUCAGUCCACAUGUGCUUAGCUCAACGCCAAGCCUCCUUGAGAGAGGUUUCUUCCAGGUUGGUGUAGCUGUAAAGGAUUCUAGAAUCUCUGCUAGACCUGAACUGACUCUGUCAAACAAAAUCCUUCUUUCAGACCUCUUCCAAGAUGUCUCAGUGUAAUACUUUUUCUCCAUCUUCUCGAAGACCUUGAAGGUCAGAGUAUCAGGAACACAAUUCUUGUCCAUAAGUGAAACUUCAGACAAAAUAUCAUCAAUGUAAGAAGACUCUCUCCUUUCUUGAGUAUCCAAGAGCCUGACUUGUUCACUGUCCUCGGUUUCAGAAGCAAUCACAGGCUCCUCAUCAUCGCUUGAUACUUCCAUCCCACUCCCAUCUGAAUAACUAUCUGAUUCAGUUUUCAGGUCGUCAAGCUGCUUCUCUAUACCUUUUGCCAUUAGAUGGUUUUAGUUACAGUUUAUACAAAAAGAAUACACAGAAGCUAACUUGUUUGUUCCUUACCAUGAAGAUCUAGAUAAGGAAGCUCUUCACUGUCGUCAUCUAACACAUCGUCGUUAAACAUUGGCUCAAGAACAGAAACAGGACUAGGCUGAUGAGCUUCAUCCGUCUGACAUCCAGGAGAAGAUGCUGUGGAGCAGUCUGAUGAAUCCUCACUUUCAUCCUGCAGUUCCAAUCAAGAGUUUUCACAAUCUUAUAUCACACAACAAGUCACAAUGUGCUCUCAGAGAAUCAUUACCUUGCUAAUGGAACCUGGAGGAGAUACAUGUCUGAACUUGACAUCUUGUGCGAAUCUGUUCCGCUCCAAACUCAACACUGAGUCCCUCCUAGAGGUACUAACAAUCAACUUAGAACCAUCUUCUCUCACAGCUCCAUCCUUCUUCUGAACCAAUGUAGUAGUAGUAGUGACAUUACAAAGUUUACUCAUUUCAUUUGGUUUCUUCUUCUCAGGGGUGACAAUGUAUUGCCCUUUCCUUCUACUAUCUCGCAACUGAGAGUCACUACCGAAACCAAGAGGAGAGAACCGUCUCGGAGAACUCUCUUUCUUCUCAGCAUUUGUGUGUUGUCUCAGCUUCUUCGGCUUCAAGUUCAAGUUUUGCUGAUCAAAUCUCCCACCAAAUCUCCUCUGUUUUGGCUUCUGAGAGUGAGGAGGCUUAGCUCGUGCAUCGAUGAUACCCUUGGAGGCUAACAACUCUGUUUUGUGUAGAUAAACACGACACAGCUCCUUCGUUGGCACCACCUUGAAACCAGAAUCAAAAGCUCUCGCCUUUACGUGACGCAGAGGUUGAGAUACCCCAUUGAAACGCACCGUUUUGGCGAAAACAGAGGAUCUAAUCUCUUUAGACUCCAUCUCUUUCAACGACCUGCAACUACUUCAAGAAAUCAACACAUACCCAGAUAUUGAAAUGAAGUAACGAUAAAGAAAGUUGAUUCCUUUUUGUAGAAAGAGACAAAUCUAUAAAAGGAAACUCAACAACAGAGAGACAGAGAUCAAAUCGGGAAAGCAAUCUAACCUUUUUUUAAUGGAAGUAAAGAUCUUUUGCAGAUCCCAUCUGCGGAAAAAGAAACUUUGGGAGACGGAUACACAAUUGGCUCCUCUGACUUUUCUGAAAACGAAAACAGAGCAGAUGAAUUUGAAAACAGAGAGGUCAAACAAGAUUGGUUGAUUGAAGAUGAGAAACGUUUCUCUCUCUCUCUCUGUGGGUCACAAUCACUCUUUCAAAUUUUUGUUUUGAUAGAGAAGAGAAGACACGAAACGGAAUCGACGUCAAAGAUGGGUCAGUUUCAUCACAAGAAAUCUCUUUGCAAUUUGAUAAUUAAUAUUUUAGUUUUUUAUAAACCGUCCAAUAAUAUUUGCAUGGGGCCGCCACAAUUAUUCAUGCAGAGAAAAUUACGUCCCUCACUUUAUUCUUCCUGUCAACAAAACAUUUUUCAUUUUUAAAAACUACAAUAUCCAAAAAAAGAUGUAUAUAAUAUGUUAUCUUACCACAAUUAAUGACUUCUUAGGCUGGCCGGCAUUUGUUUAUGUUUAAAUCUACAUAUUUAAUUUGGUGACGUAAUGACAAUUAUAUUGGAUGAAAAUUUUACUUUGUUUUAUAAAAAGUGAUUUAGUAUAGAUUACUAUCUUUUAAUAUGCAAACAAAAUAAUAGAACCACAAAGCUGGUAUGGUAGUAUGUUAAGACAGGAUAUAAAUUGACAAAAGAUGACAGAUUAGGAGAACACACAAAAGCAACAUAUAUACUGAAAUAAAUAUUAAAUUUUUUUUGGGCAUAUGAAAUAAAUAUUAUACUAAAACAGACGAAUAUCUCUACUUUAAAAUUCAGGCAUCCAGCGUUAAGAAUUUAAGAUUAGUAGAUUGCAGCUAUUUCGUAUUAAAAAUUCAAAUGUAUAUAUAUAUAUAUAUUAUUUUUUAUUUAUAGUUUUAAUUGUUCUGGAUUACUUUCUAGUCACUGAAUUCUUUUGCUGUAAAUUAAAAAAAAUUCAACAAAUCUCCGACGAUUCAUUUUGCAUGAUUCAGCAAAUUUCAUCCUUUUUGUGUUGACGACAAUUAUAAAUUUUUGAAUGAUAUAACACGAAGUUAUAAAUUUAUAUUUCACAAUAAAAAUGUGAGAAAUUUAAAAACAUUUACUGAAAACAAAAUUAAAAUAUACGAAUUCUAAGUUUUUCUAAUCAAAAAAAGAAUUCUAAGUUUUUCUACAAAUUGAAAUUUGAGCUCUUUAACAUAAUGGGCUCGAUUUGGGUAUUUGAGUAUUUUUCAGGUGAUGAAGCGCAUCACAAAACCGUUAUAUAUCUUUUUUAUCUUCCAUAUAGGCUUUAACAUUAGAGGCGAUUAUAAUAUUAGGCCCAAGCAAUCUAGGGUUUUGCCUUCUCUUUUAUCAACAUCAUCCUCACCACUCCCCACUAAUAAAAGUGUCUGCCGCUGCAAAACUCACCUCGCGUAUUCAGCUGCUUUCACCUCACCAGGUUCGUGCGUCUUCGCCAAUGAUUCGUUAUGUCAAAGCUUCGUUCUUUAGCUUUCUUACAUUUCAUUUUCAUGUCUUCUAACAGAUUUUGAAGUGGCAAGGAAAAGUCCAGACCAGAGCAAUGUCUCCUGCUAAAGGUACGGUCUUUACGUUGAUAAUCAUUUUCCAUUUGCUCAUCCUUGUUGAAUAUUCACUUGGGUCUCUUACAAAACUUGUUUUAAACGCAAACAGUAAUAACUAGCCAUGGCUUUAAUGUUCUUAAGUUUUGAAGGAUAUGUUUUUAUGUUUUUAAAAGUUGUUAAAGCUCUCUUGUGUUGGUUAUUAUGCAGUUGAUACCACGAAGAAGGCUGACCCUAAAGCCAAGGCCUUGAAGGCUGCAAAGGCAGUGAAGUCUGGCCAAGCUUUCAAGAAGAUUAGGACUAAGGUCACCUUCCACAGGCCAAAGACUUUGACCAAGGCUAGAGAUCCCAAGUACCCGAGGAUCAGUGCUACUCCUAGAAACAAGUUGGACCAUUACGGUAUCCUCAAGUACCCACUUACCACUGAGUCUGCAAUGAAGAAGAUUGAAGACAACAACACUCUUGUCUUCAUUGUUGACAUUCGUGCUGACAAGAAGAAGAUCAAGGAUGCUGUUAAGAAGAUGUAUGACAUCCAGACCAAGAAAGUCAACACCCUCAUUAGGCCUGAUGGAACGAAGAAGGCUUACGUUAGGCUUACACCUGAUUAUGAUGCUUUAGAUGUUGCUAACAAGAUUGGCAUCAUCUAAGUUUUAUCUAUCUCUGCCAUUAUAAAAACAGACUUGUGGUUUUGUUUCUCUUGGUAGUCUCUGUUUUUACAAUACAUUCUUGUUGCAGUUAAUUGUUGAAUUCAAGUUCUCUGUUUUUGAAUUUGCUUAUGGACAAUCUUACCACAAAACACCCUUCUAAACUCUGCCAAAAUGCAAACUAUUCUGUGUCGAUGGACGAUCUCUUGAAUGUCUCUGUUACCACAUUUGUUUGGCUCCUUCGCUAUCUAUUUAUCCACAUGUUAACGAAUUGAGGAAACUGAGAAAUGACAGAAAGGAUUAAGCCUAAGAUCUGGACCGACAAAACUAAGGCAAUAUUGUUCAUUGAUUAUACACAUUUUCUUACCAGACGGAUAUUCUCUGUCCAAGUGCAUCACUGAAAGCUUAUUGUUCACUAUCAACCGGCAAUAAUCUUGGCUCCUCAGUAAGAAACCAAACUCUUCUUCACACUGUUCUUCUCUUCAUUAACACUUGAAUAGCUUACAAAAAGUAAAAGGAAGCGGAAGCAAUUGGAAGAGAAGGCACGCUCUUGUGGGAAUAGGAACUUUAUUGGCAACUUCAGUUCCAGUAACUUUGCUUGUUGCUGAAGGUAACCUGCCAAAAACGACUUCUUGUAUUUUUUCUUCUUUCUUUUGUGACAAAGUAUAUGGCUUAGUUUGGUCUUAUAAUGUUUCUGCAGAGAUACCAAAAAGCCAUUCGUCUUUGUGGAUCGACUGGAGGGUGAUAAGCCAUGAGUUUGUUAUAUAUUUUGUUGUAAAUAUGAAACUUAAAUGAAAAAGCUUUGGAUUGGUUUCUUACUAUUAAACUCCAAUGAUGAUUGGUUUAAUAAAUAGAUGAGAUUUCAAUCAAACUUUCAUUUAAAAGACGUGCCAAAUAAAGUGGAUACGAUGUAUUUACAAACAAGACGCCUAACCAUUUCACAUUCUCCACCUAAAUCACUCACAUCACUAACAAAAACAAACCUCAGCAAAUAAACUGCCUCUAAUCUUGAGUUUCAAUAAACAAAAUGAUAUACCUUAGAUACCAAGCAAUGAAUAAACACAGUCCUACUUCAAUGCUUCGUCUCCUGAAAGAAUAUGGGAAUCUACGUCUACAAGCUCCUACUUUGCUUACAGAAACUACCCGUGGUUGUACAUCUGCUACUCAUAUGAUGUAGUUCCCAAACCGAAAAGCCUUGGUCAGAUUGCAAGUUAUGUCUUGUCAUCGCAUCCAAUAACAGUAUCCCGUGGCAUCACGUGAUAGUUGUUAUGCGACUCUGAGCUAAGCGUUGGUGAAGUGGAAAGUGUUCAAUCUCUCUAGAUCAGUCGAUGUUGGCGUAGACCCUUGCCAUAAUGUGGUUGCAUUAAACGCACAUACAAUCCGUUCUUACUCGAUAAGGUAUCAUGCGUGCCUUGUUCAACUAUUUUGCCUCCAUUGAGAACCACAAUGUUGUCCACAUGUCUCAUCAUCGCUGCUCUAUGCGCUAUCAGAAUCGUUGUUUUGUUCCCCAUUAUCAACGUAUCAAGAGCUUCCUGCACAACACGGCUUGACUCUGAUUCAAUAGACGAACUCGCUUCAUCAAUCAACAGUAUUGGAGCGUUCUUCAGUACUACACGAGCUAUGGCGAUUCUCUGUUUCUGUCCUUGAGUUAGCUCAACACCUCUCAUCCCGAUAUGUGUGUCGUAACCGUGGGCUAAGCUGCUUAUGAAAUGGUGAGCAUUUGCAAUUCUCGCUGCUUCCUUCAUCUCAGCUUCACUGGCGUUAUGCCUUGCGUAUAUGAUGUUUUCUCUGAUCGUCGUGGAAAAGAUUAUUGGCUCCUGUUGAAUCAGACCCAUGUGGCUUCUAAGCCAUCUCAAAUUAUAUGACUUCAAGUCUCUCCCGUCUAAUAAGACCUGACCAGCGACUGGAUCGUAGUAUCUCUCGAUCAACGAUAUUAUUGUGCUCUUUCCAGAACCAGAAACACCAACCACAGCUAAUGUUUGUCCCCCGCUAACCUUGAGACUGAAGUUGCUUAGUACUAACACUUCCGGGCGAGUUGGGUAGCAGAAGUCGAUGUUUUUGAGUUCAAUGCUUCCAUAGACGUUAGGCGGGCUAAGAGCAGAGGUAUCAUCAGGUUCGAUUGUAGGCACUCGAUCUAUAAUUUCAAAUACUGAAGCGAGAGAUCUACGGCGCUUAAGAAUGUAAGGUGCUAAUCCGAAUGGCUCGACAAGGGCAAAUGUAGCAAAGGAGAAAACCAUGUACUCGGUUAGAGCUGUUGACAAUUUCAUAUAUCCACGCUUUACUGAAAAUGCGGUGAACCAGAGUAGGAGAGCAUUGCAGGCGAAGAGGAGAAACUGGGAGAAGCCAAACGCUAAGCCAAUAGCCAUCCCAUGGAGAAAGCUCUGUCUGAGUAUCCGUUGAAGUUGCAGUCUGUAGAGUUCCAUCACCUUGUUACCGGCACAAAAAGCAACAACAGUGUAUAUGUUUCUGACAGCAUCCUCGAGUACUAAAGACGCCUUUCUAUGCAUCUCCUGGAUGCCCUUUGAGAAUCCAGCUAGCCAAAGUUUCUGUUUGAGGGUUAUAUUAGAAACCAGUGUCAGGAGAAUAUACAGAUAAGCGAAGUACAUGAAACAGAGUAGAGAGAUCCACAUACUAAAUCGACGCUACUUGAACUCGAAACACUUUAUAUAAAUCAGAAAUACAAUUUGACAAAGGGGAGGCAUGCGACUACUGAACCGGAAUUUGUUAACAAAAACAUAAGGGUCUGUUGGGGGAAGACUAAGAAACGAAACGAACCUGAGCGAUGGCGGAGAGAGUUAGUAUUGGCAAAGUUGCCAAUGCAACAAGGGCCAAGCGCCAACCGAGAAGCAACCCAAUAAGAAUGGCAACGAUAACAGCAAAACUAUCCUGAAUAAGUAUCGAAAGCCUAUUGCUGAAGGCGGCUCGGACAAAAGUGGCGUCAUUUGCUAGGCGCAUGGAUAACGUAUCUGGACUGUUCUCUUCUUCAUCAUACCACCCAACUUCAUUACGCAGCAUCGCUGGCACAGAGACAGAUCAAUGAGUGAGGCAAGUGAAAGCUGUAAAACAAGUAGUGAAAUGAGUUAAAUAAAGAAGGAAAAUAUUGCAGUACCUGAGAACAUCAUCCGCCGCACUCUCUCCGUCAUUUUCUCCCCCAUAAUACCAAAGUAGAAAUGCUGCAAGAAAUUGGCAAAAACUGUCACUAGUCCCAUGCCGGCAAUGAUCAAACACCACUUGUCAACCUCCUUACGCAGGUGGCUUCCCUUGCUAUUAUAGUAUGCUGUCACUACCAAUGCAAUGACGUAAGCUAAAAGAGGAUUGAAAGAACCAAAGAUGGCAGCACCAAUACUCCCUAAUACAGCAUAUAGCCACUCUGGAAAACUAAGCUGAGCCAACUUCCAAAAGGAAGGUGACUCCACCUUAACAUUUGUUUUAGUGUCAUCAGAAUGGCCAAGAGGGCGGCUAAACGUCUGUGAAUGGGAGCGCUCAUUUUGGGGAUCCGAUAUCAAAAGGGGUAAUAUAGGGGACUCCGGAUCUGAACCAUUUGAUUUCUGACGUUGUGGACACUGAAUGUCAAUUUUUGGUAGUUCUGGCAACCGCAUCUCGAAGCUAUCUUGUCUUUUAAUGGUUGGUUCCUUUUCAGCUACAUCCAAAGACGAGCCAUUUUCUCCCACUUUAUCUGGAGCAGGGCUAUGAUCAUUGUGUGACUCUUCACUAUUAAAGCACAUGUCCUGGGGGCGAAAAACAUUGUGACCUCUCUGAAGAGAUGGAGACUUGGCCAUUUUGGGUGAUGAAUGUUCUUGAAAGCCACGACCAGCUGAAGAAUCCCUCUCAGCUUGGAAAACAGCAGGGUCGUUGUAGUUCCUAACUGGCAUCCUGUAAGAAGAUAAGAUUUUAUAAACAAGUAAAUCGUCAAAGCCGGACAACAAAAUAUUCUAGCAUCACGUUAGCUAUACAACAGAGUAGUACAGACUUGACAAGUUGUUAGAUAUAUGUCUUGGCUGGAGAAUCAUACCGUCUGGGUAGCUUUGUUGCUUCUUCACACUUCAGAAGCUCGGCAUACAAAUUACCAAGGUUGAUUAAUUCAUCAUGUGUACCCAUCUCAAGUAGCUGACCCUCUUCCAUUACAGCAAUAUAGUCAGCAUUUCUUAUCAGACUUAAUCUUCGAGCUAUUAUUAUGGUAGACCGUCCUAACAUGAGAAGAUCAAGAGCUUCUUGGACAACUCUUUCAGCUUCAAAGUCUAGUCCUCCAGUGACCUCAUCAAGCAAAAGAAUUUUUGGAUCUAAGAGUACAGCUCUAGCAAUCGAUAGUUUUAUUUUCUGCUCCUCCGUCAACGUUAAACCAGCUUUUCCAACCUACCAAACAAGUCAUUUCCAACUUCUAAACUAAAAACAGAAGCACCAAAACUGCAAUGCGUAACUACAAACUUUACAGUGGAUGGCUUACCUGAGUUUCAUAUCCUUUUUCAAGGGAGCUAAUAAAUGUAUGUGCACGAGCCUUUUUAGCCGCCUCCUCUAUCUGAUCCAGAGUAGCAUCUCGGCCAUAUGCAAUAUUCUCUUUUAUGCUCAAGCUAAGUAAAGCAGGCUCUUGUGUGACCAGACCUAUUUGGCUUCUCAGCCACUCUAAUUUUAGAUUUUUAACAUUUUCCCCAUCAAGUAGAACUUCUCCUGUUUAAGAGAAAACCACAGAUCUAUUCAGAUCAAUAAUAGUCUCCGCUGCAGGCAAGUAACAAAGGCAGAUUUGAAUAAAUUAAUGAUACACCCAAUCACACAUCAUCAUACCUAGUGUAGGAUCAUAAAACCGUUCCAUAAGAGGAAUAAUGCUGCUUUUUCCAGAACCGUUUCUACCAACAAGUGCAACAGCUUUCUUAGCAGGCACAGUGAGGUAAAAUCCACUCAAGAUUGGAAUUUCAGGCCGUGACAAAUAGCUGAAAUAUACAUUCCGAAACUCAAUAUUUCCUUCAACAGCAGACAAAAUAGUUCCUUCUUGAUUAGUCCCAGAUGAUGAACGACUUAUCAUCUCAAAAAGCCUAUAUGCCGCAAUCCUUCCUUGAUCAAAUGAAUAAAAGUUUGUAGCAGCUUGAUUUAAACCCCUGCACAGCACAACAUGAAUAUGAUUAGCAAAUCAAUGUGUAUACUUUUAGAAGAAAGAUACAGGCAGUAAAAGUAGAAUCUGAAGCUUACAGCCCACUCAAAAUAACAGCGAAAAGGGCUGUAAUGAUUUCUCCACCAUUCGCCCUUCCAUGAAUAACAAAGAACCGACCAACCCAAAGUUGCAGAGCACAUGAACAUAUAGCAAGCCCAUAUGUAAAUCCAAGUCCAAGUCCUUGCACAAGACUAAUCAAUAUACCAUAUCUCAGAGUUGCUUGGAGAGAGGUUGCAUAAGAGUAUUUUGCAAGAGUUUCAUUUGUAAAAGCAUACAACGUCCUAAUAUAAGAGACCGCCUGCAAAUUUAGAAGAAACUCAUUUAAGCAUUAGACGGCGACAUAUUCACCAGUAGGGAAUACAUUUCAAAAGAACUUGUACAUAUAAGACAGACUAGUGGUCGUGUAAUUGCCAUGCAUCUAAGUUGCUGCGAUAUAUCGAGUUAUGGAUGCAAAAACGAUUAUGCAUGCAUCCUAACAUAACAAAAAACGAAGCAGUACAGCCGCAUCACGUAACCUAAAAUUCCGACCUAUCUAAAUACAAUCUAUUUAGAUAUCAACCUCUGCACAUCGAAAAUGAACUUCAACGUUCACAAGUCAAAAAUAUUUCAAAGCUUAAAUAUCAUUGUUGGAAACAUUUCAAAGCUUAAUGCUUGCAACAGGAUUCGAACAUAAAAUUAAAGAUCAAUCCUAUCUGUAUAAUGUCCCCCGCAAACCUAGCAAUUAUAGUACCUGUUCAGCAAUGCUGGCUGCUUCAGCAUAAGCAUCUUGAAUGUUCUCCGCAAGUCUGUGGAGAAAUAUAUUUGAUACGCCUCCGGCAGCAACAAUGAAAGGACCAGUGGCUAACGUAAUGAGCGCAAUUUCCCAGCAGUUGACAAAACCGAUAACAAGCCCACUGAUAAAUGUAGCCAUAUUAUGAAUGUAAUUUCCAACCUGCGAAUGUCCAAGAUCUCAAAGAUUAAAGAAAUGCCGGAAGACGUACCAAACCUUGCAUACAUAAAGAUAUUUACAAGCAAACUUGAAACCAAAUUUAGAAGUUAAAACAUACUUUCUCGCUUAGAGCCGACUGAAUGAGAAGGACAUCACUCAGCACUUGGCUUACAAUAUCCCCGUUAUUCCCAUAGGUAUCAAAGAAACUCAUAUCCUGAUUUAGUAGUACUUGGACGUACUUUGACCUGAUCACAGCAGUCUGCCUCUCUCCAGUCAGUAUCCAGCAAGACACCUCUAUAACAAAGAACAAUUAAUAAUGGUUUUAGCUAAUAGCAUCAUUACAGCAAGGUUUUAUAAGUAUAGUGAACCUACCAAUCCAGCCAGAUAUGAAAACACCCCCAGCGAUGUAUACAAUGGUCAGCGAAAGCUGCAAAAAAAGGUAAAGAUUACUUAAGAGGGGGCACAUCAUCCAUAAGCUUAAGCAAGCUGAGCUAACCUCAACAAGGCGAUCAAACUGAUCCUCAGCUCCCCGCCGACCCGAUCCAGUACCGUAAGCAAGAACCUGAACAAUCUUGGCGAAGUAAUGCAAGUAAACAAUCAGCGCAGCUCCAUGAGCAGCAGCAGCCACGGAUCCGAGCACCAUAAGCACCCAAUCGAACCGAUCGGCGCAAGCGAAGAGCUGGGAGAAAGGAACAGCUGCGGGAGGAGGCUCCAUCUCCUCGGGCUCAUCCAUCUCCUCCUCUUCCUCCGCCUGCGUCGCCAUCCCCGCGCCGCCGCCGCCGCCGUUCUCGGCGCUGGGAUCGAGGUAAGGAGAUGGAGACUCGGGAGGCUCGGAGACUUCGGAGACGGGAGUUAAGGGUUGUAUGUGCGGCGGAGACCAGCCGAAUAAGCCCCUGGAAACCAUCAUAGCGACGGGUGGGAGGGGGAGAAGGUCUCUAGGUUUUUGGGGAUUUUUGAUUUCAGUGGAUCUCUCUCUGUUUAAAGGUUGGUUGAGAGGAAGGAGGAGGAGGAAAUAGAUUAAUGUUAUUUUCAUGUGUUACAUAUUACUAAUUAAUAAUAUAACCUUAUAUUAUUUCAGGUUACGCAUUUUUAAUGAUUGUGUAUUAAUUAAUUUUCACCGGGGUGGCUGCUAACGGUCAACUACGGCGACGAGUUUUAGUUUUUUUUUUUCAGGUAUUCUUCGUUUAUUCUCUGCUUGUUUUGUUUUCAUUUUUCUUCUAGAAGAAAAAUGUUGAAAUCAGUAAUUAUAUUAAAAAAAAAAAAUUUUGUUGACAAAAAAAAACUAAUUUUUUUUUUAUCAAAGACUCAUGUAUAAAUCUAGAAAAAUAUUUUCUCAUAAAAUAUUUCAGUCAAAGAAAAAAAUCACAAAAUAAUAUAAAUAAACAUAAUAUUUUAAAUUAUUAAAAAUAAAGUUGUAUGAACUUUUUUUCUAUUAUCUAUAAUUCCUAAAUUUCACACUAAUUCAAUACAAAUCUAGCCUCUUUUAAUUGAACCCUAACCCAGUUCUUUCUCCAGUAUUGCAUUAUUUGCAUAAUGUCUCUAACAGUUGCCAAAAAGAUUUGUAAUAGCACAAAAAGAUCGUUAUUAAAAUUUACUAAACAAAAAAACAGUUUGGGUUCCAACAAAUUUUUGUUGUUGUGUUCACUGUUAAUAUGGUUGAUGUGAGGUAGUUGAAAUUGGUCGAUAAGUAUAUUAUUUCGUCAUAAGUUCUAGAGAAGGUGGUUGUUCGAAUAUCGUUGUCUUCGAAAUUACAUACAUUUCAUAUAUUCGUUUUCCAACCAAACCAUACAUAUAUGAUAUAUCCCGAGAAUACCGUUUUGAUUAUAUACUUUUCUGUUAUAAGUCAAAGUUAAACAAAGAAACCCUAACUAAUACUAAAUUUAUACUAACAUUAAUCAAUAGUUUGCACCCAAAAAAAACAUUAAUCAAUAGUUACGUAUAACUCUUAUAAUAAACGAAGAAAGAAGAAAAAAAUGUAUUUAAAAAAACUUGGAAAGAUGUGCAUGUGGAUUGGUGUGCCGUGAAGAAUUGCAACAAAUAGCUGUCAUCGUUUCUUACCAUUCUCGCUGUCGAAAGCCUAGAAGAGGCAAGCAAGGUGCGGGUGAUGACAGAGAAGGGUGCUACUACAUGUGAGACUAGAAGUACUCAGUGGGGGCAGGGCAAGUAUCAUUGAGGCAGUAUGGAGAGAGACUCAUGUUCUGCCAGUGCAUUUGAUCUUGCUCACUUUUUGUUAAAAAUGUCACAGCUUUUCUAGAUCUUUAGCAAAACUCCACACAUGUUUGAUUAAAGAAAAAGACUAAAUGAGAUAGUAAUCUUUGAACAAAAAAAAAAAAAGAGAUAGUAAUGUUUUUGAAAAGUGACCAAUGAGAAUAAAUAGAACAAGAAGAUGAACCCAUAAUAUAAUGUCUCUUUACGUCACUUAUUGCAUGAAUGCUCUCUUCGGCCCAGUAAUUACGAAGCCCAUUAGAAAACAAAUAUAAUAUUAAACAAAAAUAAGGGCCCAACCGGGUUCGAACCGGUGACCUAUUGAUCUGCAGUCAAUUGCUCUACCACUGAGCUAUGGACCCUUGAUGUCUAAGAUCGUACUGUAAAUCUUAAAUUCAUAAACGCGUAGCAGGCUGAGCUAACCUCGACAAGGAGAUUAACUGCUGCUCAGGUAUCCGUCGACCCGAUUCAGGAGAAGAUGAGGAAGCACAGUAAUACGUAAAAUUUUAAUUUUGUAAUAAUAUUUCAAAAGUUUAUUUUACUCUUCAAAGUAACAGUGCUCGGUUUUCCCGUAAGGAACACUUUUCUAUUUUUUCUAAAAUCAAAACAACAUCGUUACCUUGUUAACGAUAGACUAAUUUAUAUUAGACUAUGUGCGAUAGAAUGUUGAAAUAAUAAUUUUAACAUUUGACUAGGUGCAAUGAUUGGUUUACUUAUGAAUUUAAAAUGAGUUGGCAUUUAACAUGUUGAAAAAAUUAAACACUUUAAAAUUAGAUGAGGAAGAGAGAGAUUGUCGAUAUGGUGUGAUCUCAUUAGCCAAAGAAAAAGUAGUGCUGAUGACUUUUGAUUGUGUUGAAUUUUUUUCUCUCCUACAUUACUAAGGUGCUCUAAAGGUUGUUGAGUUUGCUUUAGUUAUUUUCUCUUGUCUCCGGGUGGUAACUUGUACCACAUGCAGAUGCGUGCCUACAGUGUAUUGAAAAAGGCAUUCGCCUCAGACCCCCGAUUAAUAUGACUGUUUUUAGGGCCCCAAAAUUUAAAAUAAUUUAUAGUCUAGUAGUUUAGACUUAUUUAAGAAAAAAACAUUUCUACGAAAAUUAAUUAACUCACUUUCUGAAUUCAUGUAUUUUUUUUCUAUAUGACAUAAUAUAACAUAUUUACAUAAUAAAUUUAUUCUUUUACAGUAUUAGACUUGUGUAUUUGGUGAAAAUAAUAUAUCAUAUUAGAAAAUUGUUUUCAUUACGGUUGUAAAUAAGUUUAUUUUUAAAACUUGUCUUGGACCCCUAAAACUCUUCGCACGGCACUGACCACACGGAUUUAUGGCUUUGGAAAGAUGCCAUAUCUUUGCUGGCUUUGUGUAGUGAUCUGUUCAAAUCAAAUUCUAAUCUAAUAGAUGACAAAAAGGAUAGCUAUGUUGGUUUCUUACCACUAAUGGUGUUCUAAAACAUUUUCUUUGUAAACAGUUUUCUUCUUAGUGAUCUUUAAACAUCAAGUUUAGAGCUACUAAUUUUCGAUACCGGCCACUUGUUUUAUAAAAUGUUAUGGUUCAGAGGAUGAGCGGCUUCGAUCAUUCCUCAUCUUCAAUCAUUGAUUGUAUAGCUCAAACUUCCCGUGAUCGUAUAGUAUUAUAAUACUAACUUUUUAUAGGAACAGUCAGCUAUAUUUUCUAUCUUUUAAAACUUUCCCUCAUAUCACAAGAAUCAACAAAACAUGUGUGGAAACUGUCGUAGUUGUCUUGUAACCGUUUUUCUAAGAUUAAUAAAACGUGGUAGUCACCAGAGCCUGCUCAACAAAAUUUGGUACACUUGAACGAAAAAAAUAACUAAAAAGUACAAUUAAAAAUUAUUUUUCUACUUUUAAUAGUAAUAGGUCAUGAGAGGUUCGCACUACCCCGCCUUAGAGCACCCCCAUUAGUGAACUUAUGGGGGGGUUCACACAGAUUCCAAAAAAAAAAAAUAUUAAAAUAAGGAAUAGUGAUGAACCUGUCUCUCUCCACCACUUCCCAGUGAACCUGGUUCAUCACUGUAGCGCGGACCCCACGGCACGUGGCGGCCCGCGACUGGUCCGAAAAAAUAAUUUUUUUUUUUUAAAACAAAAAUCAAACCAAAAAAAAAAAUAAUAAAAAAAUGCUUUGUGAACCCUUUUCAUGGGGUUCACUAAUGGGGAUGCUCUUAUUAUCUAAGCCGGCUCUAGUAGUCACUUUGAAAGAAGAAAGAACUAUCAAUGGUUAACCACACUUUUGGCUAGGAUGCUCAACUCUAAACAAACUCAGAUAGAACCGAGAAAAUUAACAGAGAUACAGAAGAAAGGGAUUUUUUUUGUCACAAAAAAAAACAGUAAAACUGAACUAUAGUGAACAUACGUAAUCUCAUCCGUUAACCAACGGUCCAAAACAAGGCCUAAACCGACAAAACUAAAUAAACAAACAAUUUUAAGAACUAGUAGCAAAAAUAAAAUAAAGAACCGUGGAGUAAAAAAAAAAAGAUAGGCAUCUUCUCAAUUCUCAAUGUGUGCGCAUGUAUGUAUACACAUUUUUUUUUGAAACUAGCAUGUAUGUAUGUAUGUAUACACAUCCGUGCAUAAAUACCCGAUUACAUGCACUCACAUUUUGUUCAUCCAGUAACAUUCAAAUCUCAUCAGCUAAAUAAACUCAAAAAGGAUGAAUCCUAUGUUUUACUUCCUUCUUGCCUUAACCGCUGUUUUUGCCGCGAAAACACAAGCCGGUGGACCCAUUUUCGACACUGAUGGUGAUGUCAUAUUCGGCAGCACUAGUUACUAUGUUCUCCCCAUCUUCUGGGGCGCUGGAGGUGGCGGUCUAACUCUCGUCCCCGGCCAUGGCAACCAAUGUCCCCUCUUUGUCGGACAGUACGGUUCAGACCUGAAGAGGGGCAUUCCCGUAAGAUUCUCAAACUGGAGGUCUAGAGUUACGAACGUUCCCGAAUCAGAGAACCUCAACAUCAAGAUGGAUACCGAACCAACGAUCUGCCCGGAUUCACUGUAUUGGUGGGUCACUCCGGCGGUCAUGAGUGACUUUAGAACGUUUUUCAUAACGGCUGGUCCUAAGCCAGAAGCUGGAGAAGAAGAUUCGUCCAGGAGUUUCUUCCAGAUCAUCAAGAAAACUGUAGGACAACUUGACGCUUACAACAUUGUAUUUUGUAAUGACCAUAACGAUUGCGUCGAUGUCGGUGUAAAUACGGACCAAGGUGGCGUUCGGCGUUUGGAUGUAGGCUCUACUACGCCAUUCAAUGUUGUGUUCGAGAAAACUACUAGGACAGCGACUUUAUCCAAGACUAUGUCCAUUAUCUAAGAGAAAUUAAAGACUACAAAAUGAAGAGGAGAAGAGCUAUAACUUACGUCUAAUAAUAAAACUCUUAUCUUAUCUUUUUGUCAGCUUAAUAAAACUCUAUCUAUGUUGGCUGUUUUCUUUGUUCAUCAAUCAUCAUCAUAUCUGGAAGAAAACAUCUUUCCUUUGUUUCUUACUUUCUUUGUUCUUUUUUUUUUUUUAAAUUCUCUCUCUAGUUCAUGUAACUUGGAAACUAAACAGAAACAUUUUCCAUUUUAGAAUAACCACAUCAAAAAAUACGUUAUCUAAGAGCAUGAUGAAUGAUGAUUCUUAGCGGAAUCCCACUCUAAGAACUCCUAUUAAUCAUGCUCUAACACCACUGCACCACAAGGAAGGGGAAAUGCUGUAAACAUUUAAUAUUAAACAGUACCAAAAUGUUAAAAACAAAUACUAUGUUUUACUAGAGAGAGAGAACGAGAGAGAGAGUCAUCUCCACACGAUACCUAGUAGACAAAUAUAGUGUAUUAGUUAUGCAGCACCAGCCAUUUUCCGUCUUGAUAUCAGUGACCUUCCCAGUGCUAGAAUCAAUUCAAUUUUGUGCAAUCAUAAAUGUUGCAAUCACAAACUGGCUAAGCUCAACUACUGUCAGAGGUUCAACCUUUGCAGAGCUCCUUGACAAAGAAGUUUCUGUGUUCCACUAUCAUCUCUGACCAAUAUGGUGAGUAUCCCGUGAGAGUGUGUUAGAUAAGUAAUCUAAUAGAGUGUUUAUGGUUGUAAUCAAGUAGAAAUGAUCAAAAUACUUUUAAAAAUAACUCUCGCAGUUGAACCUUGGCAUUCAGGAACAAGCAGCCUGCAAAUUUAUGGUUGGUUAGUGUUUCUAUAAGCAUCAUGGUGGAACUCCUACAAUCUUGGGAUUAAUGCUUGUUGCAACAAUAAAACGUGGAUCAGCCUGUAAGCCUUCAAUUCUAGUUGUUUGUGAAAUGAUACAACUUGAGAGUCGAACACAUUCGAGGUGAUAGACAGAUCGCUAUUAAGGCUAAAUAGAGGAGGAAAUGCUUAACGUACUUGUUCAAAAAUAUUUUGGCAUCAAUUAUCAAAGUGAAGAGGCCUUUAUAAAAACAUAAUUAUAUAUCAAUUUCAUGGUUGCCAUGACACGGUCCUUGCCUUAUGGAGGGUCACUAACAAUAUUCCUUAUAGCAGUUAGCUGACAAAUAAUGUAUGUGAUAAGAUGGAUAUCUUAAAUAUCUAACAACUUUGAAAGAUGAGUUGGGGAAGCAUCAAAUAAGAGGAUUAUCUGGAAGAUUGAUGUUGGUGUUUGUACUGCAUCUAGAUAUGUCUUAAAUCUCUAUACACCAGUAAAAGUCUAACAUUUACUAUUUUUUAGAUAAGUAUAUAUUUCUACAGGAAAAAAAAAAUCAAGUUUUUGAAGUUGCUAUAAAUAUGGAUCUAAGGAAUUGUAAAGUUAUCCAUCCAUUCACAUAGUAAUAUACAAACCCUAAACUGCUGUUUGCCUCAAUUCGUAUUUACUCUUUACUUUUUUCGAGUUUGAUUCACGUUUGUUCAUAACAGUUUGCUAGGCCAAACAGCUCAUUGUGCUUGCGGAACCGGAACGUUCUUCAUGAUUUGGACUAACCGGUAUAGUUAUCUCAUUUAAUGUGGUUAAAUCAAAUAUUGAAUCGAAUCAUAGAGGAGAGCCAUAUAUCUUGAAGUUCAAAUUUCUCUGGGUCACAUCUAAGUCAUUAAACCUGCUUUUGAAAGAUGCUUGGAGGUGUUCAAAAGGUGGACGUUGACGGUGGUUUGCAUGAGUAUCGCCUGCAAUACAUGAACAAAUGGAAACAUAGUCAACAAGCAAAAUAUAAAGUUUAAUCAUCUCCUAAAAAUGAAAACUUCUGAAAAAAAAAUUGAUGAUCAAUACAUGAAAAAUGUAAAACGAAAUCAACAAACGAAAAUAUAAUCAUCUACCAAAUAUGCGAAAUUAAUAUUCUGUAAAAAAAAAUAGGUGAUUAUGAGUUUUAAGGCCAUAAUUCAGGAGCAUGUCUACGUCCAUAAACUCACCCUUUUUUGAAUCAUCCCUCCUUUUGUUUUUGUAACUUAGUUAAGACUAUUUGUUUAGUUAAGUUGAUUCAUAUUUAGAGGGUAAGCUGGAUAAAUUAUCUAUAUAAAGUGUGUCACUAGUCCGAUGUGUCAUUUGGUGUAGUUGAAAAGAUAAAAUAUGUCAUCUACUGGAAAUCUACUGGAAAAAAAUUUUAUAAACAAUUUUACUAUAAUAAUUUUAAGAGAUUGAUUGGAAGUGGGUGUAGUAACUGUGGAUAGUCAUUUUCAUUCCUACAACUUUUUAAAAACAAUCAUAAUUUACUUUUAAAAAUUGAAUCUAAAGCAAAAAAAGGGAAAAUUAUAAAAGAAAAAAAAAUUAAAGCUACAACUAAAAAUCUAAAAUUUAAAUCUUAAGAGUCAAAAGCAUAAAACCAUAGCCUCAACCAAUCUAACCCUAAGAAUCUUGAAGAUAUAUACAAUAGUUUAAAAUAUUUGCUGUAUGAAUUAAAUUUUAAAGAAUUUGAGUCUUAAUGACACUAAAUUUUGAUAUAAUUAUAUAACUGUUAAAAACCAAAUUUUUUGAAUAACAAAGAAUUGUAUGUCAUUAAAUCUAUCUUAUUAAAACAGAAACAUUGUGACUUUUUCUAGGUGGAUUUUAAGUUGGACUUACUAUUAGAUAUGAUAUAUUUUCUGAUUCUAUUAGUUAACAAUUAAUAUUAGUAAAUUAUUUCCUUAUUCUAUUUUGAUAACUUAAUACCUUAUAUGCAUUUAUUUAUCAGUUGGCCCAUAUGCCUUAUAUUCAACAAAAAAAAAUCUUGCCCAAUCGAUUUCAUAAACAACGUGCAACAAUGUUUAAUUUUAAGAUUUCAUAACCACCAUCCAAUAAGUUUAUGAGAUAAUCACCAUGCAGUAUAUUACUCUGUAACCAAUUAAUUAUAUAUAUAGCCAUACUAUAUGAUAUAUUCAAAAUGGAUUCAAGUCAAACUUCUUAACCCAUUACCCUUUAACCAAUCUAAAUUGGAUUACAUAUCAGAUUAACGGGUUUACCGGCUCGAGAGUAUAAGUUAGAUUUAAAAGUGUUGGUUUAAAUACCAAUUAUUAAAUAGACAAAUUUUUUAUAAACUAAAAAAUAUUUGUAACAUUGUUCAUAGAAUUUUGAAUAAAAUAUUCUGCGUUUCCGAAGCGCGGGUCAUGAUCUAGUAGUCAUUAAAUCAAUAACACUUGUUUUUGGUAAGAACUUUAAAACACGUAUAGUGGUUGCUAUUUAUAAUGAGUAUCUCAUCAUUUAUCUAUCUUAUUAUAACUCAAGUACAAAAUAGAACUAACCCAAUUUUUUUAUCAAAUUUAUUAUAUUAUAUUUUAUUUUAUUUUUACUCAUUUUAACUACUUUAUUUAUUAAUUGAUAUUUCCAAAUAAUUCGACAGCAUUUAUUAUAUAAGUUCAAAAACAUAACUUACCUAUUUUUAAAUGUUUUAUUAUAUCUUUUACAUUUUUAAUACUUCUUAAUUACUUCAGUCUUUACCAUAAUAAUUUGAUAUCAUUUAUUUUACGUGUUAAUCGUAAUAAUUCUACAUGAUUGAAUAAUUUUUUUUUCAAUCGUGAUAAGAAUUCAAACCAGUUAACAAAUAACUAUUUAUUGUUUACAUAAUUAUUUAGAUAUGAGUAUUUAUAUAUUUGUUCGGGUAUGGAUCUUACGGAUAUCGAAUUUUUGGGUUUUGAAAUUAAGCUCCAUUCGGUAUUAUAUAAUUUUCGGGUGGAAUUUGAAUCGGAUUGGUUUUGAUGUAUAUGAACCUAAAAAUGAACAAAUUUUUUUUAUGGAUUUAGAAAUGUUAUUAAACAGUUUAUAAAAAAUAAAUAACAUCAGUGUGAAUGCGCAUGUCAACUUUACUAAGUACUAAAAUUAUUAAAGAAAUGAAUAGUGUUGUACAAUGAUGUUCUUAGAACCCAUCAACCAAUAACCAUUUAAUUUGAAAAUUGUAAUAAUCAUUACAAAUUACAAAUUAAUCUCCAACUAGCACCCCUAAAUGAUGUUUGUUAUUUUUUUUUUUUUUUCAAAAUGUUUCUUUUUUGGGGCUAUGGAGAAUAUAUAUCUGUUCCGGCUUAGUUUCCCUUUUCUGAGUUAUAUAAAACUUUUGAUAUUCGAUAUAGUUCCAGAGAAAAAAACUGUUUCUCAGUUUGUAAUUAUUUAUACAGACUAUAUACACAGUUUAAAAUCUACAUGAUCUAGAAAAGUAUCUCAAUAAAACGAAUGGGCACAUUUAAACUUGGAUCCAGCUACAAGCAGGAAGCUUCUUGAUUCUUGAUCCAUCAUUAGUAUCUCCUAAUCUCAGUUCUUGACCAUAAUGAGAAGGAUUAAGUGGUUCAAGCUUCACCAGCUGACACAAUGCAGCAUUACUUAACCACAAGUUACAAUGCAUUCUUGAACAACUCAAUAGAGCUCCCCACACUCCUACACUUGCUUUCACUCUCAUUCUCCUCACCAUUUCCACUGCUUCACCAAACAAACCAGCCUUCCCCAAAAGAUCAACCAUACACGCGUGAUGUUCAACUUCUGCUUCGAUCUCGUGUCUCUCUUCCAUGUCCUUGAACACUCGUUUUCCUUCUUCAACUAACCCUGCGUGUCUACAAGCUGAGAGAACGCUGAGGAAAGGAACAGAGUCUAGUCUAAGUUCGUUUUCUUGCAUCAACAAGAAGAGCGAGACCGCAGAGCUAGCUAAACCAUUGACUGCGUAAGCGGAUAACAUAGUGUUCCAUGAACCCAUAUCUUUGUUUCUUAUCUCAACAAAGCAUCUCUCCGAAGAUUCAAUCAUUCCACAUUUCGCAUACAUAUCAAGUAGACUGUUUCCUACGGCCGUGUGGGAAGAGUAUCCUAACCUGAUGAGCCUGGCGUGAACACACAUUCCAACUCUCAAGGCUCCUAACUGUGCUGCGGCGUGUAAGAUGUUAACAAAUGUGACUAUAUUUGGCUGAAAAUUCUCAUUCUUCAUCUGACGAAAAGCGGCAAUAGCUUCUUCAGCUUGGCCGUCGAUUAAGUACCCAUUCAUCAUUAUAUUCCAAGAUACAGUACUUUUCUCGAAUCCACACUUGUCAAACAAGGAUUUUGCUGCAGCAAGGGCGUGACAUUUGGUGAACAUGUCGAGCAGAGCAUGUGCCACGUGACAUUCUGAGUCGAACCCAUGCUUUAUAGUUUGCCCGUGGACACAAGAACCCCGAUCAUAGUCGCUACAGAGUGCACACGUUUGAAGCAAACCCACCAUAGUUCCUGAGUCUGGGCGUACUCCAUGUAACAUCAUCUUAUUGUACAAAUCAAAUGCUUUACAGGCAUCACCAAUCUGGGUAUACCCUUGCGCUAGAGCGUUGAAAGCUACAGCAUCUUUAGUUGGCAGUCUUUCAAAAGCUUUUAGCGCAGGUGAAAAGAGACCGCUUUUGGCAUACAUUGAGAUGAUGGCUGUGGCUGUCGCUAACUCCGAGUCAAUAUCAGCCUUUAUAGCAUAGCAAUGUAUGCUUUUGCCUAAUCUAGAGUCGGGUAUCCCUGCACAAGCCGGAAGCACACUUGUCAAAGCCACACCAUUAGGUUUUACGUCUGUUUUCAGCAUAUCCCCGAACAAAGUGAGAGCAUCAUCGUGAUGACCUGCUAGCUCAAACGAAGCAAUCAUUGCAGACCAAGUAACGACAUCUCUAUCUUUAAUAUUUGUGAACAGUUGUUCCGCUAUCUCCAACUCACCACAUUUAGAGUACAUACUCACAAGAGAAGUUGCAACCGAGACCUCAUCCAUCAUCCCUUGCUGUACUACAUAUUCAUGAAUUGCAACCCCCUUCUCUAAGUCCCCUACAUACGCAGCAGCUUGAAGAGCACUAACUACAGCUACCUUACUCACUCUAACAUCAUAGCUCCUCAUGACGUCAAAAAACUCCAAUACCUUAGUGAAGCACCCAUUAUGCGCAUAACCUGCCAUCAUUGUACCCCAAGAAGAGUCAUCCUUGCUCCACACGUCUUCAAAAACACAUUCAGCAGCAUCUAAAUCCGCGCAUUUGCAGUACAUGUCGAUAAAGCCACUAGAGAAACCAGAUGCAAAACCUUUCUUAACCACAAGUCCGUGAAGACAUCUACACACAUCCUUACUCCCUAUCUUCGAAACCGCAGGGAUCAGAUUGUACACACUCACAUGAUCAAUCUCAACACCACUCAAACACAUAUCACGAAACAACCGCAAAGCUCCAACAAAGCACCCAUUUUGAGCCAACCCAGAAACCAUAAUGUUCCAACUAAUAGUAUCCCUCUCAGGCAUUUCAUCAAACACCUCUCUUGCACUAACCAAGUCUCCACCUUUACAGUACAUCUCAACAAGAGCAGUCCCUAUAUAAACAUCAGACUCAAAACCCAUCUCGGAAACCAACUCAUGUAUCCCUAAACCUCUCUCCAAGUCCGAAGCUCCGGUGCAAGCUUUCAAAGCGAAGGCCAAACUGUACUUGUCAGGAACGAUACCUUUCUCCUCUGACAUGUAGCGGAACAACUCGAGAGCUUCUCUGUGCAAACCGGCUCUCGUGUAUCCUCUGAUCAUCGAGUUACACAAAACGACACCUGGGUCUUGUACAGAGUCGAAGAUGAUGCGAGAAAGGUUUGGUCUUUGGAAGAGAGAGUAAGCGUUUAUUAGCUGGUUAUGGGGCUUGAGGCCUGAGACGGUUAAUUUUCCGUGGACUUGGAGGAGACAUUGGAGGGUUUUACAUUCCCGGAGCAUACGGAGGAGCGCGGUGCUGGUAAGUGCCAUUUCACCGGCGACGAUGAUACAACAGAUUUGUGGCGGUAUAAAGGCAAGAAUCCUGUGGGUUCGGUUCGGUUCGUUGGGUGGGUGGGUAAUUCGGUUAGCUUAAGUAUAUGCCGUAUAGAACCGAAACAAAUUUUGAUUCCAAUAUCCGGUUUAGUUUAAUCUGGAUUUUUGGUUUCAGUUAAAUUUGGAAAAUUUUGGUUAUUUUGUUUGGUUCGGAUUGAAAUUUUAGCUAGUUUGUGGUUAGUCCAGUUUAAAAUCUAGUUAAACUCGAUGAGUUGGUUUAAUUAUUAAAAAUCUGAACUAAUUGAUUACCAAACUGAACGGAUAACUAAUUUUUUUUAAAAUAUUGAAUUGAAUUGAACUAUAAAAACCAAAUGGUUUGGUUCAAUUCAUAACCACGGGGCUGGGAAGAUCAUUGCCGUUAAACUUCUCUAAACUUUUAUAAUUUUCAAAGUAAAAAAGAUUAACCUUUUUAAAGGAGUCUAAUUCAUGCCAUGAAGAUGUAAAAACUCAAGCAGAAUAUGAGAGCAUAGUAAUUGAAACGUUAAGUUAUUACCAACAUCAAAAAUCUAGAGCUGUAGUACUGUCAUCACAUGAUAGCCUGUUAAGGUUAUGAUUUUUACAUCUAAUGAAAGAUAGAUUUCAACAAACCUUUCUAUAGCCUCUUUGCCUUUCCUUGCUUUGAUCAGAAGACAUCAAACGUAGUAUCCUCUCUGCAGUAAACUGCUCUCUAUGUAUAUAGUUCAAUGUGUCUUCUCAUGCGUGAUGGAUCUUCCACAUACCAGUUCUGUAUCCUGCAGACAUUAAAGCAAGCUCCCAAAGCAUGUUGGGAAUGCUCAGCAGACUGACUUUAGACCCGGGGAUUUCAGACCAGUUCACAGAGAUCUCAAGCAUUGGAAUGUUAAAACGUUUGCACAAGAACACCAACUCAACAUCAAAGCACCACCUGCGUCAGAGACAGGGAUGCUCUUAUCGAUUGCUUCUACUGCUAGUAUAUCAUCAUCAAAAAUUGUAAAUACCUUUUCAGAUGGACGUUUGUGAAAAGUCUUCUCGCAGCAGCUCUAGUAAACAUCUUGAACCCACACUGAAAAAAAAAAACAAGUCUCUAUGAAAACAGAGUAACUACAUUGACUAGAGAAGCAAACAGCAAAUGAGAUUUUUAGAGAAGUCACCUGCGUAUCUCGAAUUCCAGAACCAGCAGCCAACAAGACCACAAGAUGGAACCCCUUCAUCAAAAAGUUGCGAUACCAUUUCCUCUGAAAUUGACAAAAUGAAGUCAAUUAGCACAUGCAUUUAUAUGUGCAUGGAUCUAUGAUACUGUAUCUAGAACUUUGCAAAACUUAACUGUAGCAAGAGCUUUCUCCUCAAGAUGAGCACGAGAACCAAAAGCUGAUACUUGCACAUCACCAAUUCUGAAAUCCACAUGCUUUAGCGCUGGAUCUCUGAUUGAACUUUCUUCUCUAGCUACUGCAUGAAUCUGAGAGGCUAUAGGAGAUCAGGACAUUUGUAAUACACAGUUUCCAGAUUGUCUGAAAUUUCAAGAGCAGAAACUAAGACAAACCUGAUUUUCAAGUUUUUCAAGGUCUGUUACUUUGGUUGCUCCAUCCGCAUCCAACAUGAGAAGUAGUUCACCACGCGAAUGCAUCAUUCCCUAUUUAAUGCUUUCAAAAAUUUAGAAAGCUUCGGUUAUUUUCGUUUUAUUUCUACGAUGAAAUGGUAAAAGAAAAUACUAUUACUCAGUCACGUAGAAUAAACAGGUUAGAGUUGCUUUCAACUACUACGAGAUGAACUCACAGUUCUUAUAGCUUCUCCUUUCCCUUGAUUCUUCCCAAGGGGUAUAAACCUUAUGUUGUCAACUGAAUACUUUUUGACGAAAUCAAAAGCUACUCUUUUUGUUCCAUCCACACUUCCAUCAUCAACAAUCACCACCUACAAAAGAGAAAACAUUAUAAUACUCUACUUCUGCUUAUGCAUAUAGUAUUGAAAAACGAUGCAGAUUAAUUGAAUGAUUCAGUAUGCUUAGUAAGGUGCAUUAAUUAUACGGACAAAAAACCUUGGAAAGCUCAUUCAUACUCAACCUUAAUUAAUUGAAAAGAGAUGAAAGAAAACUAUAUACCUCAUAAGAAAAACUCUUAUCCCGUGACGCACGACCUUGAAGGUAACUGCAAAUCAUAGGAGAAAUUAACGUCGUGCAUAAGUAUAAGACUUGCCCUGCUGUUUUGCAAACUUGUCACGAAUUGGAACACAAUUCUGACAAAGGAGAAGUGAAAGUAAAUGAAAUUACUCCAUUGUUUCCUCAAGAGCAGCAGGAAGUCUCUGCUCCUCGUUAAAUGCUGGAACUAUUAAUGACAGAUACUUCUCCGCAGGGUCGGAGAUAUGAGGGCAGGGAACCUGAUAGAUAGAGUUUCAAAAGCUCUUAAAAUCUAAACCAGAGAAGACGCGUUUCUCUCUCCAAAUAGAUGAAUCUAAAGCUUCAGAACUCGCAGGCAGUAAAAAGGGAGCUAAUUUCGACACAUAACUCCUUGGAAAAAACUCCUACAUAAUCUCUCGUCUUAAACGUUCUAAAGAAACAGGAAACAAGUGUGCAAGAUCUCGUCUUUUCAAUAGAAAAAUCCCAGUUCCAUUAACUGCAACAACCAGAGUACCAACACAAAGAGAUCUAAUUUCGACACGUAACUAGUCAAGACAAAACUCCUACAUAAUCUUGUCUUAAACGUUAUAGAGAAACAAGAGCCCGAAUCGCCAAACAAAGAUCUCUCUCUCAUUUAGAAAAUCUUAACUGAAACAAGUGGUUUUCAAGUACAAUCGUUCUUAGCCACACACACACCCUAACAGUCAAUCCUAGAUUCUCAGAGUAUAAUCCGAAACGAUAAUGAAUCAGACGAGAUACCUGCUUUAAGGUUGUCGGAUCCUCGAGUGUAGUUACGGUCUCCACAGAACUGGGGAAUAUAAACAAAUCAAAAUCCAGGAUAAGAUACAAGUUAUAGAAGAAAUGGAGUAAGAAAACGUACACGUUACUGUGUCUCCUUCUCCAAGCUUCAAAGACGACGACGGAGAUGAAUCCCCAUAAGGCGAUCAGAAGCAGAGAGAGGCCAAGUUCCGCAACUGUUAACAGAGACUCCAUUGCCGGUGCUCCCUCCCAAGAUUUUCAGAUCUGUUUUUGCUUCACGAGGGAGAGAGAGAGAGAAGAAGGGAGAUGGAAUGAAUCCGUGAAGAAUUAGCAAAGAAAGCUAAAGUUUUAUUGAUUUAAUCCGUGAAGUGAUGAGUGUAAAGGAUUUUGAUUGAUUGUAAGAUAAUUCAAACCCUAAAUUCAAUUUUGACUUUUGAGGUUAAGACAUUUUUGGUUUUUGUGAUUGAGCCCAUUUAGGUUCGGUUUUGGUCGGUUCUGUUUUAAGCGAUGUUUUCUUACUUAACCGAAUUAAACCGACAAUGUGUCCGUUUAACCGUUUUGAACUUGAAAACCAAGUGCAGAUGUGAUUAUGAGUCUCUCAACAUCCAAUCGUCUCCAGAGCAGAGACUUUAUUCGUUAGCAUAUUCAAAUAUAUCGACUGAAUGAGAAGUCAUUGCAGUAUAGCACAUGUAGUUUUUGUUUGUCUGCUGGUAUUAUAAUAUUAUAAAGGAAAAAAGAUAAUAACAGUGAAACAAACAUGCUUAGAAGUUAGAACAAACUCUUUAGUCAAAAAAAAAGUUGGAACAAAUUCUCUCAAAGACAAAAUCAUACAACUGUGGAAAAACAUAAAAGGUACCUGAACGUGUUAUUUUGUAUAUUAUCCUCUUUGUAUAAAGCCUAUAACCUUGGCUACUAUUGUGUAAACCCCCCAUAUAAGAAAAAAAAGACCCAGCCGCAACAACAAACAAAAAAACAAAUAUUACACUCAGAAAAAUUGACUCAAACAGAGCAAAAUUCUUUUGGCCUCAUCGAUAGCCACAUUUGUACAAACACUCAAGGAGCCCCAUGAAUUCUCAUCCUCUCGCGGCUCUUCUUCUUCUUCUUCACGAAUCUCUCUGCCUCUUGUUCGGUAUGAAGAGCAAACUGAAGCCUCUUUAGAUUCUCAGCACACUGUCUGUGCAGUCCCGGUGAGAACAUUCCUGGACCUUCUUGAUUGAUCGGUCCAAGAUGGCGCUUGUACGGUGAAAGCCACUUGGAUUGCAGGUAGUUCAGCGAUCUCCAUGGAGGCAACGGCAUUGAGUUCUGCUUUAAGGAGUAUUUAGCCGCGUCGACCAUUACUUGGAGGAACUGGUUUAGUCUUGCAACCGUUCCUACGUAGACCACUGGGAGUGAUUCCAUUAUCCGCUGGUAUGAAUCCACAGCUCGUGCGAUUUCGAAGUGACUUCUGAAAUCAAUGUCGAUGAUCAAACGGUCGUCUUGGCCAACAGGAGAGUCGCUCAUUAUGAUGUCUAUGUAUUCGUUGUCUCCUGAGAAAACAGCAAAUCACAUCAAUCUUCUGUAUUAAAAUUGUGUAAAAGGCAGAGUUUAGAGGUGGAAACACUUACCACCAGGAACUUUGCCAGUGCCUUGCCAUCUUGCCGAACAAACAGCAGCGUUAUAUCCGGAAAGGCGUAAGAGCUUUGCGAGAUAAAACCUGAUGCAACUGGCGUUACAUGUACCGGACUUCACAGAGUGGAGAUCUUUCUCUUUAAUAGAAAGCAUCAGGGUCCGAACCGCGGAGAGAACCUCGGUUUCGUGCUGAGGCAUUGAGUACUUGAGAAACUGCAGGCAACAGACAACGAAAUUUUAAAUUAACAAAAAGACUUCAACCUUCCGUAGAAAUCGAAAUACUUGGGUCUCAAAAAUGUGAUAUGAAGUAUGCUUCCUACAGAAUAUAGCAACUCUAUACAGAAAAAGCUACCAUUCUAUUUCUAACCAAUUUUUUAUGAUAAAUCUCUGAAAUACUUUAUAACGAGUGGCAAACAAGGACAUAAUAAGCAGCUGAAGACAGCAUGAGAGUAGUUGCAACCAAUCUUUAUGCAAGUGUUCUCCAUUGGAAUGUGUUUAGCAGCUACCUACUACAGAUACCAUCCUAACAAAACUGUAUCUAAAGGCACUAUAAUAAACCAUGUUUAAGCUCAAAACUAUAUCCGCUGUACUAAUUUAUGAAAGUGCUUUCAACCUUCCGUAGAAACUGAAACACUUGGGUCACAAAAAUGUGAUGCUUCCUACAGAAUAUAGCAACUCUGAACAAAAAUGCUACCAGUUAACCAGUCUAUGACAAUCUCUGAAAUAAUUUAUCAGGAGUGGCAAACAGGAACAUAAAUAAGCAGCAGUACACAUUAGCAUGAGAGAGCACAGAGGCAACAAUUCUCUAUGCAAGUGCUAUCCAUUGGAAUGUGAUUAGCAACUAAUGUACAUAUACCAUUCUAACAAAUCCAUGAUGUUCUUUGCAGUACUUUCAUUCGGAAUGGCAUCCACUAUAAGCAGCUUUAUACUUGGAUGCUCCGUUCAAUAAUCAAGAACCAACCAAUCACCGCAAAAUCAAGAAUCUAUAAGGCAUCAUACUAAACCAUAUGUCCAAGCACUACAAAACUAUAUCCAAUUUCUACUCUUCAACAUGAUCCCAAUUCAUACAUCCAAUAAGAUUAUCACCAAAUCGCCUCUACGGUACCUGAAUUUUAUCGGAAAGGUAAGAAGGAUCCGGGAAUCCCGAAUCGCUGUCGCUGCUACACCACGAAUCACCACCACCGCCGCCGCCGCCGCUUCCACCACCUCCCGUCUCGAUAAAAUCCGUGACCAUAAGGCCUAGGUCACAUUCACCGUCGAGGCUAGAAUCUCUCCCUCGUUCCCACCACUCCUCCGCCGGAACAACCCUCAAGUCCAACCCCAUCGUAACCUAAAUCGAGAGCCAACGAAGAAGAAGCUUGGCGAAAAUUUAAACGAUUCGAAUAAAAUGGAAAAAUAGAAAGGAGGUUGAAUUGACUCUCGGCACAGAAAACGCGUUUCGUCCUCUUCUCACGAGUCUUGUGUGAUUGAUUUAUUGUUUAUAUACAAAUGGUAGAGAGAGAGAGAGAGAGAGAGAGAGAGAGAGAGCUUGAAGGUAGAAAAGACCAGGAAGAUAGGCGGAAAGGAAGAUGAAGCCAAGGUGGGUAAAUAUAAUACCACUACACGUGUCGUAAUGACGCUAAUGCCCUUACCGGAUUAAUUAUAUUACCAUUUGAGCUCGUUUUUUCUAGUUGUAACGAACCCAAGGUUAUUAACAGAAACAAAAAAUGAACGUGGACAGAGCCUAGGGUUAUAUUCGUAACGAAAUGCGGAAGUUAUUUUAACAGCGCCCGAGGUUAAAAGGGUAAACCGGUAACUGGAAGUAGCUGGAGCGUAGCGGACAAUCUAGAAGAAACUACUGGGUUUGGCUUGGGGACGAAGUUUAAAGGCGUCUUUUUUAUAAACGUUCUUAAUUAAGCUGACACGGACGAAUUUUAUAUUAAUUAAUACCAUAAUCAUCUUACAUUCUCGAAAACAAAAUUGACCAAAAUCGAUGUUCUUUAUCAAAUAAGAUUGACCUCUAAUUGCUUCUUGAAAUUGGCACAUGCUUUAACUACACAUGUGCCAAUCAUCUUACAUUUUCGAAAACAAAAUUGACCAAAGUCGAUGUUCUUUAUCAAAUAAGAUUGACCUCUAAUUGCUUCUUGAAAUUGGCACAUGCUUUAACUACACAACUCAUUUUCAAAAAAUUGAAAACUAAUAAAACAUAAAAUAAAUAAAAAUAUAUAUAUGAGAAUUAAGAAAAAAACAUCUUAAUGGGCUUUACUUUCACUACAGUUGGGCCUGAAAGGCCUUAUGUGAUAUUUACUUGCGACCAUCCGAGCCAAUUUGGGAAACAUCCAUUCAUGUCUACACAAACCCAACCUUGGGCCAUGUACGACCAAACUUUUUGACCUAUGUGCUCAUAACUUUCUUCCUCUUUUCCAUUCUUGAUCAUUUAAGGAUGGACAAGUAAUCUUCAAUAUCUGAUUAAACAGUACACUUAAGUUUUAAUAUGUUUUGCAAAAACUCUUUUAUAUUUGGCACUUGGAAGAUCAUAUAUGAAAUACCGAUUUCAUACUCAUGAAUUCAGAGGUCAUGCAUGAAUAUUAGAAAAGUUAGUUGAAAUCAACUGGCACAACAAUAAUGUCAAUUUAAUAUUUUUUUUGCACCAACUAAGCAAAUUUUAUAAACUGGGCGACAUCUCUCAAGUCUAAACCAUAUAAAGAAAAAUUCUCACCAAAGAGAAAACAAACGAAAAGUAAAAUAAUUUCUCGUACAUGAUAAUGGGAACAAAUGGUAAUUAACUUUCAGGGAAAAGACGUUUAGCUUAUGUGUGGAAGACAAGACACGGCAAGUCCAAGAAGUACCUCCGUACGUCAAGAUUGUCCAGCCCGUGUCGCGUAAAUAUUUAAGAUCUUCUAUGAUUUGAAUAUGGAUUCUUGUAGAUUAUUUACAAAAAAGUCCAGUUAGUACCAAUCAGACAGGGACUUCCAAAACAAUACGCGACACAUAAUCAAAAACCUACCACCCAAGUCAAACCUAUUUUCCUUUUAAAUACAUUCUUGGUUAUGACUUUCAUGAGAGAGAAGGAAUAAAAAUGAAAGCUUGGGCCUAUUAUUUUGUGUGUAAUAAGAAACUUUGUCAAUCUAGAAUACCGAGUUUUCUUUACUUCCGUACGACAGGAAACAAAAUGAUUUUCGUACAUUACAUCUCGAUUUUCAAAUUAGUGUCGGGUGAUUGGAUUUUACAACACUGAUACAAAAUAAUUCUUAUAGUUUAAGCAAAAAAUUGUGGUACACAUAUUAGUAGAGACCAACCUACAUCUAUCGCGGAACUUUUUUCUGCACAACAAGAAAACAAAGAUAAAAAAACAUUGUUUAAUAGAUGAUGAUAGUUGACACAAAAAAAAAAAAUGGUGUCAAAAGAAAAACAAUUGAAACAUAUUUUAAUUGAAAAUGCAUUUACAAGUAGAGGGUCAGUUCAUGACGGCUAACCAAAUGUUGACUAAAAAUGUGGGAUAUCUUGAAAGAACAAGAAGAGAAGGUUCAAGUCCAUGACUGUAGCUUUGUGGAAUUUCUAUAUGAUCUUAAGUGCAACCCAACGAAAACAUAAAAAAAAUUAUACCCAACAAAGACUAUUAAAAGCCAAAACGAAGUCUUAGCUGAAUUGUACCAAAUUAACUGAUAGAUUAUAGAGUUGAGGUCACAUCCUGAGCCUCAAACUGCGUCAUAUACAACUAUUGUUAAUUUCAAUAAAAAAAAUAUUGUUAACGAGAUCCCAAAUAGUGGAAUCCUAUCAAACCCAUUGAUAACAAUUACAAACUUGAGUGAUAACCAGCUAUCGAACAAAAAAAAAUAUCAGAAAAAAAUCGUCAGAAAUAACGUAAAUCGGUAAAAGAAAAAAAAUCAUUAUAAGAAGCUAAUAAAUUAGAAAUUAAUCAAUUAUACGUAUUUUAUGUUACUUUACUUUACACACACAUGACAUGACAGUGAUGACACACCCGAGACCAAAUAAAUAUUUUGUUACGACAGCAAAUAUAAAGUCUUCACUCGUGUGUUUCUCUGUCGUCCCAUAAAUGGUUAAUUUUCAGAUAUGUAGGUAACAAAAAAAGGCACCCAAAACCAUAAUUUUCUUCUCAAUUUCCACGAAAUAAAAUCAGCUAGGAUAUAUAUAUUACCCGCGAAAGUUAAAAUCAUUAAAGAUAUUGCCAAAACAUUACGUAAGACUUUUUUAAUAGUGGGUCAAGACAUAUCCAGAAUAAUUGGUCUAUACAUUUUCAAAUUUAAGAUUUUUUUUGCACAAACGUAAUUUCUCUUAUUUCAAAAUAAAAUAAAAUAUUAAUUAAAUUGUUUAUAGUUCCUUAAAGUAUUUAGAGCCGGCCUGAUCAUGUCGAUAAAAUAAAAUCGAAUCAUACACCUUUUUAUCUUUUGGCCAAACUAUGUUCAUUUGUUUGACUUUUAUUUCUCAACACAUACAAAAGACAAAUCAACCAAUCCUUAUUCGGUCACCCCCUCGUGCCUCUCAUUAACACCAACCCUGUUUCUCAUUUCGUCACCUCGCCAUCUCUGUUCACAUCUCUCUCUCCCUCUCUUUAACCGCGUGGGUUGUCAAAAGUUUCUAUAAUUCCUCUUAUCCUCUCUGCUCAUAAACCAUACAUAUCCUCCUCAAGAAGCUGAACAAGAGCGCUCAAGAAUCAAGAAAGUGGAGAAAACGCACUUCUUCUUAGCUAAAUGGGUUCUUGCUUCAGCUCUUGUGUCAAAGCCGAUAAUCUUUUUCACAAUGGUACCAUCUCCUUCUUCGUUAUGUUGAUUUUGCUCCAGGUUUGAGUUUGGUUUAACAUAUGUUUGUGUAUGUUUAGGUAAGAGCAGCGAUCUUUACGGUUUAAGCAUCUCAAGCCGGAAAUCAUCGUCCACGGUGGCUGCUGCUCAGAAGACGGAAGGGGAGAUUCUUGAUUCAACCCCUGUCAAGAGCUUCACCUUCAACGAGCUCAAACUCGCCACCAGAAACUUCAGACCGGACAGUGUGAUCGGUGAAGGUGGGUUUGGUUGUGUCUUUAAAGGCUGGUUAGAUGAAACCAGUCUCACUCCGACUAGACCCGGAACCGGUUUAGUCAUCGCUGUUAAAAAGCUUAACCAAGAAGGGUUUCAAGGUCACCGUGAAUGGCUGGUACAUUAGCAUUCAUUUCUUCAAAUUUCAAAACUUGAGAGUUUUAUUAUGUGUGUGAUUGUGUCUGAUUUGUUGUGUUGUGUUGUGUUCUGAUGCAGACGGAGAUUAAUUACUUGGGACAAUUGAGUCACCCCAAUCUAGUGAAACUGGUUGGUUAUUGCUUGGAGGAUGAGCACCAUCUUCUUGUAUAUGAGUUUAUGCAAAAAGGAAGUCUUGAGAACCAUCUAUUCAGAAGUAAGUCCUAUUGAUGAAACAUCUUUGAUAAGUUUAGUAGUAUAAUAGUUUCACUAGUUUUAUUCAUUAGCCUUUUGUAUGCUAAUUAUUUAUACAAAAUGCAUAGCUUAUCUAGAAAUGUCUUUACAUAAUUACAUGAAUAGUAACUUUCUUAAUAACUACAAGAAAAUAUAUUUUAGGCGAUUUUGUAAUAUCCUAACAAUCUUGUUUUCGUAUUGUGUAUUUGUACUAAUGGAAGUGGUUUUGGAGCAGGAGGUACAUAUUUUAAGCCGCUGCCAUGGUUUCUACGGGUCAAGGUUGCGCUUGAUGCAGCAAAGGGACUUGCUUUUCUUCAUAGUGACCCUGUCAAAGUGAUAUACCGAGACAUUAAGGCCUCCAACAUUUUGCUUGACGCUGUAAGGCAGAGAAUCACGUAUUGAAUGAAUUAGAUGAUCUCACUUUUUUACUGAUGACUUUGGGUUCCAUUGACAGGACUACAAUGGGAAGCUUUCUGACUUUGGGCUGGCGAGGGACGGUCCAACGGGUGAUCGAAGCUAUGUUAGUACAAGGGUUAUGGGUACAUAUGGCUAUGCGGCUCCCGAGUAUAUGUCUUCAGGUAUAAAGUCAACUAAAGGUUGAUCAAAUUCUAUAACCGGGUAUAGAUAUAAUGAAUACUUGUUUCAUCUUCCCGAUUUUGUAUACUUUUAGGUCACUUAAAUGCAAGAAGCGAUGUAUACAGUUUCGGUGUUGUGCUUUUGGAGAUUUUGACGGGUAAACAAGCGUUGGACCAUAACAGGCCGGCUAAAGAAGAAAAACUUGUGGAAUGGGCUCGACCGUACCUCACAAGCAAACGCAAGGUGCUCCAAGUAGUGGACGCUCGGCUGGACACGCAGUACCUACCCGAAGAGGCAGUGAGAUUGGCCAGCAUUGCUGUGCAGUGUCUCUCCAUCGAACCCAAGUCACGUCCGACCAUGGACCAAGUGGUCCGUGCCUUGCAACAACUUCAGGACAACUUGGGAAAACCGACUCAGCCCGAUCCGGUUAAGGAUGCCAAGAAACAGGGUCUUAAAACCGGAGCUAAGUUACAAGAAACACGAUUUAAACAAAGACCUUUUGGGAAGCAUUAAGCUGGUUAAUAGUUCAGUGAUGGACGGCCAGGCACUUGUUACUGCAAAUCCAAUACGGUUAUGGACAAACCGUGAAGGUCGAGAUUAAUAAAGGAUACAUAAAAUUUUGCCGGCAACAAGUCACAUACUCAACCUUAGAGAAACAUGUGGUUUUAGCCUUUAGGCUUCCUCACGUGCUAGUCGAAUGAAGUAUAUAUGUGGUAACUUUUUCUUGGUGUGUUGUAACCACUAUUGUAUUUUGUUUGUUCCUCAAAACAUUUGAUGUAGAGAUUUUUCGAAUAUCUCCAGUUUUUGAAUCAACAAUUUUUCAAUGUUACAAGCCAGAAUACUAGAAGUUAAUCAGUGAUGCAAAUGCAAAACAAAUAACACAAAUCCGAAUUUGAGUUUUCUUGGCUAAUGUAACUUAACCACUAGGUAAAGUAUUGUAGGUUGUUUUGGAGAGAAAAUUAUGCAAAAAGCAAUUUACAUGAAGCAAAUGAAAACCUUAUGAAAUAAAUCACAAAUGUAAAACCAAGGCACAACCGGUUUUAAAUAUUGUUCUCACCAUCGUUUUAUGUAAAUCUGUAUUGAGUUAUUAUCAAUUUUAAUUUAUGCGUUUUGGAUUGGGUAAUUACACUCUUGAAUCAAUAGUAGGGAGAAAUCGGGGAGCCGAGGCUUGAACUAUACUACGAACAGAGACCAACGCAAGAGAUGACCGAGCAGAAGAGGACACUGGCAAGACAUAAGCAUGUGAGACGCAACAGCUUUCCACUAAGACAUAAUCGUCGUCACAUCACUACUCUCUCAAGUACUCACUCAGGGCUCUCGUUCUGUUAUGUUCAUGGAUGCCACUUCUUCAUGUGCCUUUACAGGUAAGUAGUUAUACGUUGCCUAUUGUUUACGUUUAUAAGCUUUUCAAAUUAGUAGAUUAGCUUUUCACACAUAGUAAGAACUAAUAAACAAAUUAAAAAUAACUAUGAAUGCAUUCUUGUAUAUAAUUAACAAUUUACAAUAAGUUUGAAUCAAAGGUUAUUCAAAAUCAAAUUAGUUAAUUUUUUUAUAAUUUAUCAUCAUGAAAAUAUUUACAAAAUUUUGACCAAAAAAAGAAAAGAAAAUAUGUACAAAAUUAUAACAUCAAUUUUUUUAAUAAUUUUUCUUUAUCAAGAUAUUUAUCUUUUUAUAAAACGGAUAAAGUAUAUGAUGUAACAAAUUUUAGCUAAAUUCGUAAGUGGAGGAGACAUGUCCGGUUCAUAUCACCAAAAAUAAAAUAGUAAUGAAUAACAAGUAAAGGACCUUGUGGACUUGUGCUACGUUCGCAUCAAAUGCUGUCGGAAAAUACUUUUAUUGUUUACUUUUCAAUUCAUCGGUCAAAAAACCAGUUCCCACUUAUUAAAGGCGUUUUAGACCGUAUUAUUCUUGCUUCUCGUCACAAAAUCUAAGUGGGAACCCUGAGAAUCUAUCACUUUUCACUAACGUGCAUUAGCUACACUCUUCAGUGUCAGAGUACUGUACUACUGUGUCAGAGUAACUGUUUUGCAAAGGCUAGUUAAAAACAAACACGAAGAUUAGUAAAUAGUUUCACAACAUAACCAUGUUUUAGAUUACACGUUACAAGUUGUAACUUACAAGCCAACCAAUGUAAAAUACUUAAGUAGCUGCGGGCUGUUGCAAGAUUUUCUCACAGCCACUUCAGCUAAAUAUAACUCACAAUUAAAACACCAAAAAAAAAACAAAAACAUUAAUAAGAAAAUACACAUAAAAGUCAAAGAUACUAUUCUCCCCUCAAUUAGCGGGGAGAUUUCUUUUGUCUCGAGACUCUCGACCACUUCAAUGUUUAGUUUCUCGAAACUCACUUAGACCCUGAAAUUCUUCCCGACAAAGGUUUGACCAAACUGCCAGUUAGAAGGAACGAUGCUCCAUGAAGUAGAGGUUCUACGGUCACUGCCGGUGACACGGAAAGAAAGUGACUGACCAACCAAAACAGCGUUAGAUUGCCAGUUCUGACCCCAGUUCCUGCUCAGACUCAUCCAACCAGUCUUUGAACCUUUCACGCUCGUCCUCACGAUGUCUCCUGCUCCGGCAACGUUGGUGAUCAGAACCAAGUUGAAGUAACGGUGACCGUUGAUUGUGAACCUUAUUCCUCCUCUCUUUCUGCAUGGCACCCUACAAAAGAAGACCAACAAUUUUACACUCGUUUACUAACUUACUUGCAUGAAUAUAUGGAUUUUUUGUGUAUUAGAGAGCUAAUCUUUUUAGUUAAAUUAAAGCCAAAGUUCGUUAGUUAAAUUAUCUUAAACAAAAUAUUAUAAUGACACAACAAAAGAUUGUUUUUAGUAAGCCCUUUCUAAAAUAAGAUUGUUUCUAACUAAAUUGAGAGUUUACAUUAAUUUUAAGAGGUUUUUAACUUAGAAAUAUGUUAAAUAUUUGGUAUUUUUUAUGUUCUUGUAAUACAAGAUUUUGUACCUGCGGUAUGAGACAGGGACAAUGCCGGCACGGUAUUGAGCAAUCUUGAGGAAAACAGGCAUGGCUAGGUCGAAGUGUUCACGUGGUGGGUUGCACCAUCCACCAUUAUCGCUCGCCUGAGCAAAGUUUGGUGGGCAGAAGUUGGUUGCGGUAAUGAGGAUAGAUGGGCUACCUGAAUGGCACCACUGUGGGUCGUUGGCACAUUUUAGCUCAAAGCAGGCUCCACAACUCAUGCCGUUGUUAAACAGAGCCGUGCUCAAAGCAGCCGUGUUAGUUCCGUAGCCUUGGCUAUAAAGGUUACCGUAACCACAAGCUCCUCCUGUAAAGUCAAAACAGAUUAAAAAUCAUUUUGUUAAGAAUGAACCUUUCUUUUGGUGCAUCUACUCUGUUUUUGUGGACUGACCCAUAGUGCCGGAGGCGUCGCUGCCGCCGUAGAAAGUAGCGUGUGCGUUUUGCCACGCGCCACCGGAGUAGACGCCGGGGAUUCUUGCGUCAGCGAGGUUAAAGAGGAGAUAUGCAGUGAAGAGAAUUGCUAGUUUAAUAACAGCCAUUUUUGUUUGUGUUAAUUUGAGAAGGGGUUUUAAAUUACUCUGAGAGUAAAGAAGAUGAUGAAGAAAGAACAAGAGCGCUUUCUUUCGAGCUUGCGCUCCUGUUAAAGAAGAGUUACGUUUUGUUAAUGGGAGAGAUGAUGGUGAGGACUGAGCAGCAAUUGUGAGGUUCGGUAUUUAUGGAGGGAGGGUAACUCCAAAAUGAGAGAGAGAGAGAUUGAGAAAUAUUAUUGGCUAUCUUUUUAUUGUUUUUGUCAAAAUUAAACUUUAAAAAUUCGAUUACUAUUUCUACGUAAGGUGGAGGUAGGUUUGUAACCGUUUCGUCAUACUUUAUACAUAUAUUUUUAUCUAUUUUAUGUAGCUAGAUAGCAAUGAUACUCAAAUAUCUCAUUAUUUCGGCAAAAUAAAGAGUCUUGAGUUCACUUAUGCGAGGCGUUUCAAACUUAUGAUCGGCAAAAUAAGAAAAUGUAACUCGACGGAAAUUUUGUUUUUCUAUUAAGCUUAACUGUCAUUAGUAUAAUCGGUCACAAAUAUAUUUUUUAUAUAUCUCUUAACAAUUUUUUUUUACCAUUGCCGCUCAAAAAUUCACUUGCAUAGAAAAAUUUGAAAAGAAAAGAUUACUUUAUCAAAUCGAGUUUCAAAAGGAGAAAAAAAUAACAAAUGAACGGCUCCACAUUGCCCGCAUUCAACGGGGUAUCAGUUGUGAAUCACACAGUAUACACACGACCCGAACUCUAUCGGAUCUAUUCAAUCAAUGUUUUAUUUAUGUCAUGAAACUUGUCAAAAGAUCUACAUUAAAUAUCAAAGCUGUAGCACUUCUUAGUUCUCACGGACAAAAGUCAAAGCGUCGUAUAUAGUAUGUUUAUAUAAUAAAAAUUCUCAUAAAACUAAUGUUUAUCUAUGGACUUUAUAAAUAUACUUUGAUAGUUUGAAAACUUAAGAAGUAGUGGAUGAAGCUUUUGUUCUCUUGAAUUCGAGUUCAUUUCAAAAAUAAAUUACAGUUCUUAACUUUUAGUGAUUAGCUUCCGUAGUUUAGGUACAUGAACUUCCACUUUUUUUUCUUCUUGUUGAAAAAAGAACAUGCACACUAACACUCUUUAAUCUUUUUUAAUAAACACACUUUAGUCUUUAUGCAUCGGCGCGCCACCAUCAUCAAAAAGAGCAAUCUAAUAGAAUUGAAAUAUCAUAAGUGCCAACUUCAAGUUAAUAUGAUUAACUUUCAUUAACUUCUACUGUACUUAUAAACAUGAAAAUUAGUAUGUGUGAGAGAUUUUUGUUUAUUUUGUAUCAGUGUGAGAGAGAGAUAAUUGGCAAACGAGGAAAACAGUUAGGGGCGGUGACAGGUUGUCGAGCAGCGUUAAUAUAUGGCGAUGACAAGGCAUAUCUAUGCACCAACCAGAUCUUCUUAUAUCUGCCACUUCAGCCCAAGCAUUCAUACUUGGUAUUUUUUUCUAAUUGAUCUCGGCCACGUGUUGAAAAAUAUACAAUUAUUUUAUCUAAAAAAUAUUAUUAAAAUUUUAAAUUAUAUAAGAUAUUUUAGAUAAAAUAUGCUUAUUAAAACAAUUAUUUUUAUCUAAAAGAUAUUAUUAAAAUUUUAAAUUAAAAAUUACUUAACCAAUUACAAAAUAAAACUAUUAAAUUUGAUUGGUUACAAUUUUGAUAAAGUUAAAGAUACAUAGAAAUAUAAAAACAAUUUAUAUAUUUGAACAUAAAAAAUUUUCUAAACGUUUUAUAUUUUUGGAACGGAGGGAGUAUAACAUCAGCUCAACAAGCUUUUGUCAUAAGAAUACAAAUGCACUUGCAUGUGAACUAAGUAUCUACCACUCAUCUCCCAACAAAUUCCCGUAUUUACAUUUAUUUAGCUUCAGCGUUUAAAAACAAAAUAUUUUUUUUGUCUAAAUAUAAUAUUGGUAUCUAAUCUUCAAAUAUAGCCUAGACUUCUCUCCCACUCCCAAAAAAAAAAAACGAUUUAAGAAUUUAAAUUUGCCGUGUAAUAACCUCAAUCAAGCGUCAUCACAAAUGGUUUAGCAGAAUCAAAUUAAAUCAUAAAACAAGUGCAUCUGUUUUUUUUUUUUUUUGUAACUGAUGUGCAUCUGUUUUUCUUCUUUACUUAUUUUUAUAAACUAGAAAAGUCAUAAAUAUUCUACCGUAGGAGUAUUUUGACUAGAUAAGUUGUUGAUUGUUUGUUCGUCGGGUUCUAUAUUCACAUUGGCAAUGCAGUCGACCAACGAUUUUAGAACAUUUUGUGCCUAUAGUGCCGUGUGAGUCUGAGACUUGUGUGCCUGCUCUCCAUUAGUUAUAACGCGAGUAAUUAAAACGUUUUUUCCAACUUCCAAGAAACUCAAUAUCAGUGGCAUUAACCAACACUGAUGUUUUUGGGGGGCCAAAAUUUACACUCCAACAAUAUAUAUAUGGGCAUAUAUAUUGUAUUCAUCUGAAUAAAACAUUGUGUAUGAGCUUUUGAAUGAUACUUUUCAAAAUGCUUUAAAUGUAAAUUGAUAGGCUUGCUUGAUAAUGACUACUCCCUCCAUUUUUUAAUAUAAGUCGUUGUAGAGAAAUUUUUUUGUUUCAAAUUAUAUGUCGUUUUCGGUUUUCUAUGUAAAAUUUAUUAGUAAUUAAUGUUGUAUGACCAAUGGUAAUAUAUUUUUUAUUUUUCUAUUGGUUGAAUCGUGGUUAGGUAAAUAAUUAAUGAUGUUUUUGUUUAGAAAAUAUAAAAAAUUAAUAGUUUUCUUAAUCUACGUGUAUAGCUGUAAAACGACUUAUAUAAAAAAACGGAGGAAGUAUUAUUAUAUCGAAUGAUAUGAGCAUUGUGAAUAUUCAUAAACAAGCUCACUAAAUACUUAGGCGUAAGAAAUAAGUACGUAUAGAUUGCUAAUUGAGCUACAUUCAAGCAACAUAUAAAAUCAUUAUUAAUUUUUUUUUUUUUUGAAACUAUCAUUAUUAAAUUCUUUUAAUAUGGAAGUAUAAUUGAAUCGUGCAACUAGUUUGUAUAUCCAAUCUCAGCGAGCAAAAGAUAUCAUGAUUAAAAUGCUAUAUUUAUUAUUUCACACCUAUUUUUUGUUGUUUAAUUUUGUUUGCACUUUUUUUGAAGAGCACACAGUCAAUAGUCAGAGUCGUGCUCACCUUAUCAAUUUUGGGGCAUUGGGUUCAGGUCCCUUCUCACAUUAGUACAUUUUGAAGCUUCCAUAUUCAUAAAUCAUAUAAUCAAUAUAUGAUAGUAUGAUAAAAACUAUAAUUAUCUUUUAAUACUUUUUAAUAAUAUGACCAUUUAUGCUUAGUUGUUGUGAAAUUUUAUUGUAUAUUUUUUUUAUUUUGAAUGUCGAAAACAUUUUCUUGUAUAUAAUUUGAGUUUGUAUAUACAAUUUUCAGUUGUAACCAAAAUAUAACUUUUGCCAUUAAUUUUCAUAAAACUGAUUUUUCUUAAAAAUAAUUUUAAAAUAGAAAAUGAAAAAAAAACAAUUUAUUUUCUGAUUUGUAUUAGAAAAAAUUAAUACGUAUAUUUAAAUAUAAAAUAAAUUAUUUUUGUCCUAAGUUCCUAAUAGCCUUCGCACGGCACUGUCAAUAGUAUGUACUACUAAAGAGUGAAUCCUACUCAAAUUUUGAGGACAAAUGGAACGACAUCAUCUCAUACGAGGUGGGCUAUGAAUCAUGAGUUGAUAGAAGUGGCAGAAGGGUAAAUUGUAAUUGCCAAAAAGGUAACUGAGACCACACAUGCUACGCCAUAACCCCAUAGUAGGAACUCAAGAUUUCCCUCGCAACUUCGCAAUACAAACAAAGAGAUCAGCAGAUAAUAACUGCAGUGAAACUCAAAUUAGUUGAAUAAAUAUAUGAAAUUUGAAAUUGAUCGUUGCGCUAAUAUAGUUUCCCUGGCGCACAUUUUUUAAAUCUCUAGUAAGAAAAAGAAACAGAAAUUAAACGUUCAAUAGCGUAAGGGUAAGGGAGUGGACCAUUGCCAAAUUUAUGCUCCCCUUUUUCUUUUUGAGAAAGAUUUUCAUGUCUCCCCUCUGCAUGCAUCGAUGUCUCGCGCUCAUAAUUAUUAGGCUUUACGCUAAAUGUUUUUCACGCAAAGCAAAAUUCGAAUCCUAUAUUUAUUAUGUUUCACCUUUUCUCUUAACAUUUCAUUGGAUUCUUGUACGCUAUUUCACAUUCAUGUGUAUUUAGAGCAAUGUAAAACUCAAUUUUUUUUAAAAAAAUGGAGUUAUUUAUAAUGCAGUUGAGAUUUGUUUCAACUCUAUUCUUUAGUGUUGGAUUGAAAAAUGGAAUAAUGAACAAAAAAAAUAAAAUUAUGUUUUCAUUUAUGGAGUAAAUCAUUUUUACUUUAUCAUGAAGUGAAAAAUAAGUAAAAUUGAAAUAUUUAUUAUUUUAAACUCUAUUUUGAAGUGAAUUAUGGAUGUCGUCUCUCGCUAAAUAUAAUUCCAUUUUAAUUAAAUUUAUGUAUCUGUAUAUUAUAUCUAUAUCUAUAUUUGUAUAUGAAUAUAUGUUUCUUUUAUCAGUUUAUCAUAUCAUCAGAUUUGUUGAUUUGCUCCAGUAAAAACCAUUUCGCACAAGCUUUUUAGCCGAUACAACUUAGUCUACAAGCCAGCCAAUGAUCGUUGAUUAAUAAUGCCAAACUCUUCAUAAGUCAGGGCUGCCUUUCAUGACCAAUUAAUUAGCCUGUAUAAUAUUUUCUCUAAUAGUCGUAGUUUGGUUCUUCAGCGUCAAUGGUGAGAAUAUGUCUUACACGAUUUUUUAUAGUUUUAUUGUAAUACUAGUAACAAGAAUAGAACAACCUUUACUAAUUAGUGGUGUGAUUGGAUAUAUCUAAUAUUGCUGUUAUUUUUAUUACAAAAUAUGAGCAACGACCGACGGUGUUGCUUACGAACAAAGCGAAGUUAUAUAGGACAUACAUUUAUUUGCUUUAACUUUGAUAAAGUACCUAUCAACUAACUUAACCUCCACGACGAUUCGAUAUCUUUAGUUAGGUUCAUUUGUCUCCAUACACGAUUUCUUUAAGUUAAAAUUCUCUUGUUGACCUUUGUUCUCAAAAACUAGCGUCACCUUUGUUCUCAUUUUCUUUUUGUUUGACAUUUUGAAAUAUUAUUUCGUCAACCAACUGAAUAUUUUUGUUAUCUAGUAUCAAUUCAGCCGAAUCAAAUAGUUGAAGAGACAAUUUAGCAAGGGAAUCAAUUAGAAAAAGACAAACUUGGGUGUUGUAGACGAUGCCAAAAGGCCGUGACCGUUCUCCAGACAGGGUAAAUCCGAUGGGUGAUUAUGCAACAUAUUUAAUCAUAGAUGCUAGUAUGACAUGUUUAUUAGUCAGGUUCUAAUAUUUUGGAACGUUGAAUUAUGUAACAUGAGUCGUGCUCGGUGUAGGAAUUCAACUUAGGGUUGUUCUAGCGGAGGCAAAAGAGUAUGUGUUUACGCCAGUUGGGCACUUCAAAGCAUGAGAGGAGUAUGAAUCAAUCGAACAUCAUUUCUGUUGGGUCCUCCUCAAUAGAUUUAAUUAAGGCCCUGAAUAAAUCACUCCAAUGGCUUGCGUUAUUGGGUCAUAUUGUAGGUUUGCUAAAUUAUAGCAAAGAUCAAGUGGCCUGAGACUUAUAUUUUGAAAAAAGUAAUUCAAGUGAUCGAGGAGAGUUUGAGAUAGCCAAUGACUGAUGGGCAAGGUCGGAUCUAAAAUUACAGAGACCAUAAACAUGUUUACCUAAUUAAUUUUUUUUGAUAGUUGAAGGGCAUGAGAUUUAUGUGUAAAUAACUCUUUAAAAUUUGAAGGACAAUGCAAUUAUUUCAUCAAAAUCUGCUGAGAACCGGCCUUACUGAUAGCCAUUUUCAGUUUUGGUCGAGACUUGAGAGGAUGGUCGGUCUUGAGGAAAACUAAAUGAAAUAUUGGUCAGAUUUCCAAAAUUUUUGAAAAAAAUUACACAGACAUAGUCAAAGGUAGUCGAAGUGUAGGUGUAGACUAAACCCCAUAAACAAACGUAACUCUCUCGAUGAUGAUUGUUAGCUAGCAAACUUUUAGGCUCUUUCCUGAACCCCAUAACUAAUAUAUUUCAAAGUGCUAGUCAUCGGGUAACUAUUGGAAACAAAAGACGACACUAAAUGGCUACCUUCGUCAGUAUAUUCCAGUUACUUGAAUGAACAUUCUUUUGAGAAAAAGACCUUAUUCUGUCUAAAUCGACUGCUUGGAUUACAGAUGUGUUAGGAGGCUCGAGAUGUGUUCAACUCAUUAUGAUGUACAAAGUGAUUAUGCUUUUUCAACAUAUAAGUCAAAUGGUCGUAUAUUGGUCUUGAUGAUCCAUCUUAGAUACGAUGUGUGACAUUAAAACACCACGAUUAUGAUCAAAAACCACACAUGGAAGAUAAUGAAUGAGCCAGAAAAUAGGAAACAGAAAACCGCAAUUCAGUGUUCUCUUCUCAUUGACAGAAAGAGUUCAUUAACUUCAUUGACAUACCAAGCUCAAUAAAGCAUAUAACAGGUCUUAACAGAAUAUGGCUAACACUACAAAGGCUGUCUCCAAUUAUCGAGAGCAUCAUCAGAGAUGCGUUGUAAUAACUCUAUUAUUGUCCACGUUUUCUUUCUACUAAAGUGACCACAAAAUAAUUGUUCCCUUUUAAAGAUUCUAGCCUACCAUCAUAUCAUUUGCUCUGUCUGUCGUUCAAAGAUUAUAUAGCUGUACAAUUAUAGAAACUCAAACUGUACUUAGUAGUAACACACAAUAACUACCAAAGAGGUUUAUACCUAAUCAAAUCAAUCUCACUAAACCCUAAAGCUUUUAUGUAUCAAUUUACUCGCAUAGAUUAAAGAAUAUAAUCAUUAUUACACUGAAGAACACAAAAAAAAUGUGAAAAAUUCAAACAAGAGGGUUUUGUCUUUUAAUGUUUUGUUUUUUUUUUUACCUUAAGAUAAAUUAAGCUAAUAGAGCUAAUGUCGUCUCCUUGAAGAAGAAGCAGUCCUGAACAUAGAAAACGACGAACUGCUCCUCCGGGUUGAUCUCGACCCGGACCCCGAUCCAGCAGCUACGGAUCCAGACGACCCGCUGAAACAUCCGAAAAGUCUCAUAAUCCGACCCGCAAACCCGCCGGAUCUCUCUCUACUACCACCACCUCCUUCUCUCCCUCCUCUUCUCGAACCCCACGCCACUCUCCUCGGAAGCCUCUCGUCUCCGAGCCUCCCGCCGUCGACCUCCGUGUACACCACCGGCAUCAUCCUAUCUCCUCCCCUCCAUCCUCCGGGGAUCCUCCCCACCGCGAAUCCUCCGCCCGGUAACCUCCAAAUCGUCAAUCCCGCAGCGGAAUCCUCCUCCUCUUCGUUUACCACCGCUCCGCCGCCGCCGUCAUCCCCCGCCGACGGAAGCUCGUGGCGGCACACCGGACACGAGUUUCGAAUCGCGAGCCAGGGGAGGAUGCAAUCGGGAUGGUAGAUGUGGUUGCACGGCAUCUCCCGGGCGGCGGAUUUCAACUCGAAGUUUUCUUUACAAACGGCGCAGUGAGAUUGAGAAUCCGAUUCGAGAUGGGUCGGGUCGAUCUCGAUCACGGGUAAAGCCUCGACGGCGGAUUUAGAAGCGGGUGGGUUAUCACAUGAGUUGUUGUUGUUGGCUGUGAGUUCGAUCUGAGAGAUCUGAUCUAACAGCCGAUCGAAUCCGGAGCCUAAGAGAAACUCCGUCAUGCUCGGCGGCAACGGUCUGAGGCCUGAGUCGGUGCCGUCGUCGUAGUACAUCUGGAAAGCGGAUUCGGAGGGGUUAGAUCCGCCGCGGAGGACGAUGACGGGGUUGGGAGAGCGGUUGCUUGAGUUGCUUCUUGUGCGGGUGACGGUGGGAGGAGGAGGAGGAGGGCUGUUCUCCGCCGUGUGCAUGGAGGAGGAGGAGGAGGAAGGGGGAGGGAAGCGCGUGGGGCUGCGGUGGUGACGGAGGAAGGAGGAGGGAGGUGUGAAAUCGAGGGAUUGUUGGAUGUGUUCGAGGAAGCCUCCGUCGCAGUCGGGGCAGGAGAUGGAGUCGGAGACCCAGACGAAGCGGCUGCAGCUGUAACACCAGUACGAUCCGGAAGAAGACAUGGUGAGAAUGGAAUCGAAAUCAAAAGAACAUCUGGGAGAGUUUUUGAUUGAUUGACUAAACGGAGAAGAAGAAGAGGAGAGAGAGAGGGGAUGAGGAGGGGAAAGGGACGGUCGUGGUUUGUCUUAACAAGAAACCGUCCAACUCGUGUGUUGUCACGUUCUCUUUCUCAUGUCUCUUCCUCCUCUCUUUUUUUUUUUUUUUUCUUUCUUUAAUCUUUUGGUUGUUUGUUGCUGCUAUUAAACAAAAACUGUUUUUAAUACGUUUUCUUCUUUCUUAUCUCGCGUUACCUUUUUUUAUACAAACUGUUCCAAAACUGAUUAUAGUAAAACAAAAUUUAAAUCGUACAGGUAUGGAAAGUAAAUAAAAUGAUUUAAGAAAGAGUUGAUUACAUUAUAGGACACAUUUAGUCUUUCUCUUACACUAGAAGACACAUACCACAUGUGAGACACUUUUUGGUGGGACCUAAUGUUUAGUUUGACAAAAACGCCCUUGUGAUAAACUUUUACCGAAAAGUUUGUGUUUCUAGUUUAGUUAUUACUUUUUGUCUUUGGUGGUUUGGUUAGUCAAAGAUUUAUUUUUAGGUCGUUUCUUUUGUUGUUUGAAUUUUUUUUAAGAACAAAUAUUUUGGUUAUACAUGUGGAUGUUAAUGUUACUGUGUCCACAGAUAAAAACGAUUUUUGAAAUUUGUGGAUAGUACAUAAUUUUAUUAUAUGCGGAUACUACGUCGAAGUGGGUUGCGCUAUUAUUUUGUAUUUGAACAAAGGUUUUUAUUAUGUUGCGUAUGUGGAUGCCAAUGUGUACACUGAUAAAAAUGGAGGUUUCUUACUAACUUCAAACAUGUCCAGGAAGAAAAAAAAGUGCGAGUGUUGAAAAACAACCACAUACAAAGCCAUCCUCAGAUAUAUCAAUCAACUGGUAGUCAAUACGGUUCACAUGUGGAACCUAACAAAGAGAAAAACAAUCUGAGUCAGAUCAUAUAUGUCGUAUAUAUAAAACCAAUCUUGUUAAAGUUUGUUGUUCUAAGACUUAAAACCCAAUUGUGGGAAGAAAGAAUAUCUUCGAGCUUCUUGGCAGUGAAGAUAUCAAUGGUAACAAAGUGACUUUGAAAAGACUAGUGAAGAAGAUGAAGCUGGUUCUGGCGCUACUAAUACGGAAGGGAAGCCUAUGAUUCCGAUAGUUAACACGGUGGAGAAACCAUGCCCGCAAUUAGAGAUCGAGAUCGAUCGUCAUCACUUUUCUCCAAGAGCUCCUCGUUAAAGUUUGUGGAUGUGUCCUCCUAUAAGUCCAAAACUCCAUAGCUUAAUGUAUAUUACAUAGCAGGAGAUAGAUAAACAGAGAGUUAGAAAGCUGACCAACUUUAGCUCCUUUCUCAACGACGCAUAUUGACAGAUCAGUGUUCUUCUCCUGACAUAGCUGCUUCGAUCGUAUUGCAGCAGGUGGACCAGCCUGUCCAGCUCCAAUGUUCAGAACGUCAAACUCUAUAGCCCUCGACUUUGAGCUGGCAGCUCGCGACUUUCGACGAAACGGAAUAAGGAUACCCAGAUCGAGAAAGGAGUAGAUUAGCAGGGUGUGAGGUCCUUGGAGAAGGAGGAGGAGACUGAAGCUUUAACAUCAAACAACUCGUUUGGAGUAGUCGUGUGAACAAUACGGGGCCAAUUAAGAUUCGUGGACGGAUGAUGCAUGGAUGAGUGAUGUGUGGACGUUUGUUGUGUGGACGGGUGAUGCGUGGACGGGUGAUGUGUGAACGUAAAGAUCGUCACUUUCCUAGGGGUUGUCUUUGUGACAGAAUCUCCGCCGUAAAGAUCGGUACUUUCCUCGUCUCCACCACCAGGUUUGGUCUCAGGCCCAUUGUCCAUGGCUUCCUCUCACUUAUAAUGAACCUGAGAAAAUACAAACCUCGUCACUGGUACAGAUCUCGCUCGCUGGAUCUCCUAAACCUCUCUCUGAUCGUGCUUCUGAAUCCUCAUAUUCUCUCAUGGGAACAACCAUUCCACUGUCAAUCUAACUUCUUCUUGUCCUACAUCUUUGUAUUUUUUGUUGUUGUUGUAAUUGUCUUCUCUGUUCUCUUCUUAUUAUCCAAGAUAUGGUUCAUCUAGGAUUCUAGGGAAGAUAAAGAUUUGAUGGAAGAAGCACUGGCAUUUUCGCAAACACUUGGCAGAGCGCUUUAAGAGCACUAAGACCACUGAAUCCACCUCUCAAAACCAGAUUUUGAGCGUAAGCGAAAGAUCUGCAGCAACUCACGACAUCAAGAUCACAAUCAGAUCGAGACUCUUAAUAGACACAUAUACUCAAAUCGAGACUUACACGCGACUGGUAGACUGAAAGGAAGAGUCGGAAUCCCCAUGAAUUGGGGACACAGCUCCGAUCAAGAAUCGCCGCUGUGUCAAUACCGGAUAAAAUUUAACACUGAUUCUUCUGGGACUAGAGCCAUCAACUGGGUGUAGAAGGAAGUGACGAUCCCUGAAAACUUGAUGCAGAAAACAAUGGAGGUGGGCACUGCCAUAACUUUGCUUACCACAUACUAGUGAGAGUUGAAGGAGGGAGAGAGAUGUAUGAUGGAUCUCUCAUCUCUCAUAAAGCUAACGCCUUUAAACAAAAAUUUUAUAGAAAAUAUUAUAUUUGCGUCUAGAAAAUAAUUUCUGAGUUGAAACUUAAAAGAAGGGUAAGAUGGACAAUAAACACUCAGAAUGUGUCUCUCAAGUGGAAUGUGACUUGGGAUGAAAUUGUAAAGUGAUAAAGUGCCUUAGAGAGUAAAAAUUUCUUUAAGAAAUUAGCGAUGAUUUGAUGGCAUAGCUAAACUCCACAUUAGAAUCAAGAGAUCUGAGGUGUAUUAAUUAAAGAAUAAUGAAAAUCAUAGGUUAUGACAUAAUUUAAUAAGAGAGUAAUGAGAAUUUCCUAAGUAAGCCCAUUACAUUUAAAAUAAGAGCCCAUUAAAACUUUUUAACUUUGCCUCAAAAGUCUUUUCUUACACUUCUCGGUCUUGCAGUUUUAUUUUUUCUAAGAGCAAUCUCAACCCUUUGUUAUUUUCACCUCUAUAAUAGCAUUUAUAGGUUAAAUUGUUCCAAACCACCUCUAUUUCUUCCUCUAUAAUAGAGAUCGAUCUCUAUUUUUUACUCUAUUUAUAAAGGAAGAAAUAGCAUUCCUCUAUUUUUUACUCUAUAUUUUAGAGAUUGCUAUUUUAGGGGAAUACAUUGGAGCAUAUCUCACCUCUAUUAUAGAGUUCCCCUAUUUUAGAGGUGAAAAUAGCAAAAUACAUUGGAAAUGGUCUAAUUACUAGGUUCGGGCCUAGUCCCUCCAUGCCCGAAACUACAACAUGUGAUAUUAGUUCUGUCAUAUCAGUCACUCAAAUUGGGACUUCUGGGUCGGUAUUACAGGUUCGGGUAGAAGCCUAGUCGCUCCAUGCGCAUGCCCGCAUGUAAUAUUAGUUCUGUCACAUCAAGUCACUCAAACUGGGACCUCUAACACAAUGGUCAGAAUCUUUUCCAAUUGUGUUAAUGACUUCUGGUUCGUUCGGUUUUAUCAGUUUUGGAGCGAUUUGAUCAUUUGCAGGUACGCUUCACAACGUCUUCUUCUUCGUUGCAGAUUCUGUUUUUUUUUUUCCCUUGGUCAAAGCAGAUUCUGUCUUUCUUCUCUGAAUUUUGAUAGGUUACCUGAAUAAUAUGCAUACAGAUUAGUUUUGAUUAAAUGGCUCAUAAUCAUCAUAUGCACUCUGCACUUUGAUUCAUGGAAAUCGAAUCAUUCUCUUUCACAUCACUAUCCUUCUUUUGUAAUAUAGAAAUUUCUCACCGAUCUAUAAUUGCAUCAGACCAUUCUAGAAACCUUUCUUUUGUGCAUGUUCAUCGUGAUUCUCUUUAGCUUCAUUGAUUCUUCUUUACUUUGAAAUGCAUUACAUUAACUUGUUUCGAGUUAUGUUCAUACAUUUUCAUCAUCAUCGUAUGCACUCAUGCUUUACCUUGUAAAUGUAGAUACAUUUUCUGGCUAAGUAGUUUGGGAGUGAUAGAAGAGUGCAGUUGAUGCACAUUGAAAGAAGAAACGUGAAAGAUAUUAAGGAAAAAGUGCCACAUCAAAGUUGUAAGAGAUAGUAACAGCUUAUUGUCAGUUGGUUUUGAAUUUAAAUUUCAUCAAAUUUAAUAUGGAACAACUCAACCUGAUCUACAAUCGAUUCGUCAAAUAUUCCGAGACUAUGGCCAAAGAACUAUAGUUGGAAUGCCAUCUACUUAAUAAAGCAAACAAAAAGUUGAGAAAUGGUUUAUGACAAGGGAAUCUUACAAUAUUAAUGUUUGCACAUGAUCACAAAAAAAGAGAGUACAUGAAGCAAUCCAAAAUUACACAAAAGGCAACAAAAAAGAGAGACAGUAGUAGAAACACAGCAACUUAACAAAGGGGAAACUCAAAAGUUGUAGACACAAGUUCCAUCAUCACUUCUAGCUGUUGGAUCAAAGUUGUCGGCUUGAGGAUCAGUACACCCUUCUGGAACAGGAAGGUUCACUUGCUGUGCUGCUUUACCUGCAAGGCAAGUUACACCCAUUUCAAAAACCCUAAUUCCAUUUUUAUGCUCUCGUUCAAAAACGAAAAACAAAGGAGUUCAAACCUCGAGUUCUAACCAUAGAAAGUUCCGCGGCCAAUGGCGUCCGCGUUUGCGUCUCCCAAGGCAGCCUCGUUAAGGUAUUGGUCAGCAAGUUGGACUCUCUUGACGUUCUCUUGCUCCAUCACAAGCAUGUUUCCGUACUCCAUAAGCUUCUCAAGAGUCAUCGCUGGUUGCUCGAACACUGGAGGACCUUCCCUAGAGUUCACCAGCCUCUUUCCUAUCUUCUCAACUCCAAGUCCCUCAACGAACUUCCUCACUUCAUCAUCGUACACUCUCGCCCUCAAUGCACCAAAGAAAUCUAUCCACACAAUAAAAGAAUCAGAAUCACAUGAAAAAAAGACAAUAAUAACAAGUACUCGUGAUCAUCUUUAUUACCGAUAGAUUGUCCAGGGAACUGGUCAACAAGCGUGACAAUGUCUUCAUCCUUAACGUUAUCAGUCCUGAAGAUACCCUUGCAGACACCAAUACGGUCCUCACGUGUGGGUGCCCAGUAGAACUUCUCCAUACGCCCGUCACGGAUGAGAGGUGCGUAGAGAGUGGAGAAAUCGUUACCGGUGACGAUGAUGGGGACACGUGCGUUUUCUUCCUUGUUGUACAUUCCCGGGAGCUGGACGUUGGUUGGGUUAUCAGCAAUGUUCAUGAGGGUUGCGUUAACCAUCUGGUUGUUGACUGUGUACUGAGUAGUACCACCCAUACGACCAGCACCAGCGUCGAGAUCGUUGAUGAAUAGACAACACAUUUUUCCCUUUUUGAUCAUGUCUGCUGCUUCACGGUACCUUUGACGGAUCAGCUUGGCUGGUUCUCCUGCGUUUCCACUCUCAAGCUCUCCAGCACUCAUCAUGAUUGGGCUGCAAAAAAGGAUUUAACCAUUUUAAUAUUUUAGUUAUUAUUAUUGUCAAAUUCACUUUUUUUUUAUUGUUAUUGAUUUUGUUUUUUGUUUUUUUUUUGUAACAUGUUAUUGAUUUUUGUUAUCAUUUGGUUUACUCAAACAUUCUAUUUUUCUAUUGAAUUUUCAAGACAAAUAUAAAUUCUAACUUUGUGGGAUAAAAUGUGACUGGAACCUGUUAUAUAGAUUAGAGAGAGAGAAGACUCACUUGAUG
Molecule: long non-coding RNA, 70511 nt
Filed under: Brassica rapa (field mustard)
Lineage: Eukaryota; Viridiplantae; Streptophyta; Magnoliopsida; Brassicales; Brassicaceae
Description: long non-coding RNA (BRAP_LNC001891)
Source: RNAcentral